AAAAAAGAAAAAGGCGAGUCAUGAUUCUAUAACCAUGUCAUUUUGUAUGCACUUGCCUCUAAAUUCAGAACCACCCCCAUUGCUUCAUUAUAUGUAUUACAAUUUUACACUCUCUUCGUUCCUUAUUUAUUUCCUUUCCCUUCAAAGAUACGGUAUUAUAUCUUCAAUAUUUUCUAAACCUUUGAGGUUACAAUUCUUUAAGUAUAUUAUACAAUUUACAAAAAGAAAUUGAUUAGGGAAAAUAAAAAAUAAAAAAUAAAAAGUAAAGAAGGGUUGGUAUGAUUGAUGCAGGCGUUGGACAAUGAAGGGCUCCCACUAUUUCAAAGAUCCAAUUUAUGAAGGUCAUUGAUUGUAUAGUGCCAUCAUUACUUCAUUUCCUUUUCUUUUCUUUUCUUUUUUUUUUUAAUUAUGGGAUUACCAAAGGAAAUCAUCACAGUAUAUAGUGGUUGUCAGAUAAGCAAAAUAAUUUCCUUUUUUUAAGCUUCAGAGGCAUAACUACUUGAAGAAGACAGUGUCUCCAUCUUCUAAUUUUGGCCCCUCUUAUUAUUAUUAUUAAACUAUUCCCACAUAAAAUAAAAUUAGAGUUGAUUUAGAUUGGGAGAGUGUGAUGUGUUGCUCUUGAUUGUAUGCUCAAUUUUCUUUCAUUUGUUUGCAUGUUUUGAUGCAUAGAAACUCGUCUAAAUUUGCCAAUUUCCGAUGCUUUUGUCCCAACUUGGACGGCAAUAGAAAAUUUAUUACUGCACCUUCCAGUUUAUAUUACUUUGGUAAUUUGUAAUCUACUGCCGAAAGCGGUUGGAUGUACAAGUUUUUGUGAAUUUUUUAAUUAAGAUAUACCACAAUUUUAUUGUUAAAAUAAAUAAUAAUAAACAUAAAAUAAAGAAUGGUGCCUGAACCAUCAUCAUCACCACCAAGGAGGAAUCAUAUUCUUGAGUUUGAUUGUGAAUUGGAACAUAAACAUAAAGUUUAAGCGAGAAAAGAAAUUUUAAUCAAUGAAUAUGAUUUAAUUUUAUUAAGAAUCUCAAUUUGUCAUGUAGUAAACCAACCAUUACCUGAGAGGUUGUGCUCAAUAAUAAUGGUUUCAUUCUUUUCUGCCUAUUACUUUACAUAUUUUGAACAAUGGCAGUGAGGCUAAGAAAUCUUUUUAAAAGCAGGAAUUUUUCCCAUCAUACCAAAUAAUUAUGGAUUUGUAAGUUGUAAGUGGGAAAUAAUUUUUUUUUUUUGUCAACCAUCACAAUUCCUAUUGUAUCUUCAAAUCUCAAUUAUCAUAUCCAACUCUAUUUUGUCCAUUGCUAACCUGUCUCUUCCAUUUAUUUCCUUCAUCUCCACGGAUCCUUUUAUUUCACCUAAAGUGGAAAAACAAUCAAAAAAAAAAAUUGUGACCCCGAUCGAUUUUUUUGGAAAAAUUUUUGAAGUGUCAUCUUUUAGACAAAUAAUUCGGACUGUCAAUAGCAGAAGGUAUUGUAGUUUUGUUCCCACCCUCCGUAAAGAGUCGUAUAUAGUUCACAGAUGAUAGUGAGCGAUACCUGAAAGAUCUGGGAUAUGUGUUAGUAUUAGUCAUGAGAAUAAUUAUAGAUAUACUUAGACGUGUCAUAGCUCAAACCACCAACCUUAGUUUUAUAUGAGCCUUAUAAAUAAAUUUGAUAUCGCUUGAAUUACAAGAUUAAAAGUUCAAAUUUAUUAAGUAUUUUUUUCAUUGUGAUUAUAUAAAUUGAAUUAAACUUCAAGUUUUAAUUAUAUAUAUAUGAUUUAUUUGUUUAUUGAAUCGUGUAGUUUUAGAAGGAAAAAUAAUGAUAAUUAUGGGAAAAGGAUUGGUGUUAUCCAUUUAACCAAUCCCAUUCCCUACCACCCAUCAUGUCUAACAAUGAAUUAAUUAAAACCCUUGGCUUAAUUCAUGCCAAAAACGAUGAUUUGGACCAUACCCAGAAUUCAUAUGAUGUACAACUCUCAAAUCUCAAUACAAAUAAGAAUACCCAUCAAUCUAAUUUUGAGAUAUAAGGGUAUUUAAAUGCAGGUUUGUCCCACAUUAGACGUGCCCCUUUGCAUUGAUUUUUGGUGCCUGUUACAUGAGCUUGUAAUUGAACAAUUAGAUGUAUGGUAAAAGAAUAAUAACCCUUUCACCUAUAUGUAUACAAACAUGAGCUUGUGAUUUUCUUUCUCUUUGAAACAUGUAUGGUAAAAGUUGAGAUGAUGACAAAAUUUAUGACUAUCUGGGUUUGAUAUCUACAGUUGUACAAUGGGGAUGCCUCCCAAAAUGGAUAAAAAAAAUGGUUACAGUUGUACAAGAAAAAGACUUGUAAUGGUAAGAGCAUGGUAAAGAUUGACCUUCAAAAAAUGAAAACAUGUGAAUAACUUCUAUUUCAAGUCUUUACCAAAUCAAGUCAAUAGAAUGUUAGAGGAAAAUAAAGUGAAAAUUGCAAACACUCUCUGUAGAUUUCAAGAAAACAAGUUAGAAGGGACAAAUUUAGCAUACCCAUAGUCACAAGGUCACAAGGAUUCAUUAACUUACACCUUUCUCUUAACUGUUACGACUGCGACUUUGUACCCAAUAUUUAGGUUCCACUUUUUUUGUAACCUAUCAAUGCCAUUCAAUUUCAUAUUCAUUGCAUAUACAUACAAAUAUUAAAUAAAACAAAAAAAAAGUUUAAUUUUAUCAUUCAACUUUAAUAUUUGAAUCCCAAAACUUAGAUUUUGUAUGUAAAUUUAGGACUAUUAGAUUACGGCAUAUUCACUGUAUGAGUAGAAAAAAAUUAGAUAAUAAAUCUAUAAAAAUCAAAUUUGAUUUAAGUUGAAAUGAUAAAAUAGCGAAUGAAGCUUUUAAAGUCUUGGGUUCAAAUAUCAUUAUAUAUAUAUAUAUGUAUUUUUUAAAAAUUGUAUGUAAAAAGAUAAAAAUACCCUUAAAUUUAUAUUUGUUAUUUUAUAAAAUAUUGAUCUUUUGGCAAUUUCACAUUUGAAUUGAGGCCCAAAUAAGGGUGUAUCAAUUGAGUACAAACUUCAAAUUUUCUCAAGUAAUAGUAUAGAUGACAUAAAUAAUUUAUGUUUAGAUCAAUUACAAUCUCUUAUAUCGAAUUAAAUUCAAUGAUGUAAUCAAUAUAAAGGUAAAGCUAGGGGGCAAGCAGCGGAGUUGCUCCCUAAAAAUAAUAUAAUUGUACUUUGACCUUCCUAAAUAUGAAAAAUUAUAUUUAUUCCCUUCAAAAAUAAUGAAAUUAUAAAUUAAUAAUAUAUAAUAAAAUUACAAUUUGGUCUUUUAAAAAUUUUAUAAUUUAGUUGUAGCACUUACUCUGAAUAAAUAUAUUGAAAUUGAUAAUUCCCUUUUCAAACAUAUUGUUUAGAAAAAUGUGUAGAAAAGGUAAAUUGUUUGAAUUCAACUUUAAUUUUUACUGAUAGUGUUAAUUUUCUAAGAAACUUUCAUGUUCGGAUGUCCAAAUUUCUCUUCUUCUUUUUUAAUUUUUAUGAAAGAAUGCGGAUGUAGAUAUAUGGAUAUAGUUUACAUGGUUGAAGCAACAUGUGAAAAAGCAAAUGAUAGCCUAGUUUUCGGUGGUGGCAAUGUGUCAAAUGCCCGAUUCAGCUGUCAAUAUAUAAUCAUAUGCUUUGGAAUUUGGAUAUACUUAAAUCACAAUAAUUUCUUUUCUUUUCUUUUGUAAAUUAUUUUUUAAUGAUAUUUUUUAUAUCGUUUGGUUAAGUUUGUAUUAUAAGAUAAUCAAACAUCAAUUUAGAGUGAGUUUAGAUGAAUGGUGUGUUUAACUGCGGUUAAUAUAAAAAUAAUAAUAGUGAUGAAAUUAGAUACUAUAACAUAAGACAAAAAGUAAAUUAAACAUAUCGCACCGCACCCAAUCAUCUACACUCUUAAUUAAGAAAAAAUAAAUUUUAAAAAAUAUAUAUUUGAUACACUAUUCGUAAAAUUUUAAAAUUUUACAAAAAUAACAAUUUUUUAACUCUACUUAUGGAAUUAAAAUAAUAUAUUGUCAAUAUAUUAAAUAUUAAUAGUAAAUUUCAUUAUAAAAAUAUCUAUGUUUUUAAAUAUUUUUAAAUAUAAAACUGUAACAAAAAUCAAAAUUAUUUUGAUUUAAUUUUUUUUUAAAAUAUGAUAUAAUCUAAGUUUAUGAAAUGGUGUGGGGCAUGGGAAAUGGUGAGGGGUUGAUUAAAUUGGGGCUUUUUGGAUGGCCACAAGCAUUAGCUGAGUCAGCAACAUAAUAAUGAGGUGGACAUAUAUAAAUAAAAAAUAAAAUUGUCAAAGGAACCUUCUCUGUUUGAAAUGCUCCGGAACCCCUUCAUUUGUCAAUUCCUGCCCCAGUAUUAAAUGCCCUCUUUUUUCUUUUUAUGAAUAGAUUUCACCCUUAGGUAAAUUUUUCCAUGUUUUUUUUUCCUUUAAUAUUCUAACUCCACUUUAAACCUUUUAUCAUUCAUUCAAAUGAUAUCCUGUAAUAAAAAUAUUUUUUAUACCUUUUCUAAAUUAUUUUAAAUUUUUUUAUAAUUCAUACACUAUCAUCAAGAACAAAUUAUUAUCUUCAUACACAUCAUUAAUAGGUAAUUUUUAUGAUUUAUCUCACUAUGUGAGUAUAAGGUAAACAUCCUUUACCAAUAAACUAAACAUUAGAUUCCACAAAUCCUAUUGAAGAAAAAACAAGAGUACUAAAGAAGCAAAAUAGCAUAUAAAAUUAUCUACAUAUAACUUAUGAACAAAGUAAUUUAGGUGUAUGAACGUAAAUUAAUGAGAUAUGUAUAAAGAAACUUUGCGUAAUUGUUAAGUUUGUUUUGUCUUAAAUCCUUAACCACAACUUUAUUUAUUUGAGCAGAAAAAGGCAAAAUACAACAAAUAUCUCAAUUAUUUGUUAUCACCAUUUGAAAAACACAAGGCGAAGGAAGAUGCUUAUAAUUUCUUUUGGUAUUAAUAUAUUAAGAGGAGAAUCAAUUUAAACCCACAUUAGUGUCCAGUGAAAAAGAUCAUAUGUACCUUGAUAUAUAUAUAUAUAUAUAUAAGCAAUGGAGAUUAAAUGAAUCAUCCAUGCAUGUGUGUUAUGGGUGUGAGAGGGAGAAGGGGAGAUCAUAUGACUUACCAUUGUCUUAUGCGGUUUGACAUGUCGGGAAUAAAAAAGAUGUGAAGGGCCUACCUUCAAAUUUUUAAAAUAUUUAGAGCCUAAAAUACUUGUUAUUAGAAAGACAUGUGGAACCUACAACUUUGCGAUGUUCUUCUCCUGCCCUCUUUCUUCUUUUAUUUCUAUUCUAUUUUUUUUUAUUGUUAUCUUUGAUACGUAAUUAACCAUAGCUGUAUAAGUUAAAAGAGCAAAGACCCGGACCCUAAAUUGAAAAACUUUUUAUUAAAUCUUUUAUAAUUUUAUAAAAAUUUAAAUUUAUUAUUAUAUUGAAAUUAUAUAUGUAACAAGUUUUCCCAUGGUUGCAACUUGCAAUAAAUAAAGGAGUUAAUUAAGAAGACAUUGACAGUCCAAGCAUCAUAUUUUACCUGUUUUUAUUUUAAUAUUAACCUUUUGACUGCUGUUUUAUCUUUUAGGUAACAUUCAAAAAUCCAUUUGCUUAUGCAAUCCCUGAACUUUGGUUGUUAUAUCGAUGAUGCAUGCUCUUAACUCACGGGUCAAUUAGCCAACUAAAUUUUUUAUAUCUGCAUCACAUAACUUAUUCCUAAAAUUUGUAUUAAUUCUGUUUUUGAGAAUACAUAUCACUAAAUCUAGUGAUACAUGGAUUCCUGUCCAGUUGAUUCACUUGGUGGUUUAGUUUGGAUUAUAGUCACUGUAGUUGGUAUCAUUUCGGUUGGUACAUAUCAAAUUAAUAUUAAGUAGUCUAUGCUUUGUUCUGGUCAAUACCGACUUAUAUCAGUGUAUAUCUUUCCAUAUAGAUUGGUACAAAGUUUUAACAUUUUAAACUAAUUUUUUAAUUUUUUUAUCUUAACUAUUUUAAUUUUCCAAAAUUACAUUUAAAGUGAAAGUUAUCAAAUUCAAUUAUUCCACCUAAUUAAUAAUUUUAAAACUUAUAUUUAGAUUUAAAUGUAUUUGUAUAGAUAUAUUUGCAUGUACAUAUGAUACACAAAUUACUUUUUAACCAAAAUAGCAUACAAUUUAUGAAUAAAUUAAAAACUAGACUAUAAAUAUAUAUAUAUAUAUGUGAAAAAUAUUUAAAUAUAUAUGUAAUUUAUUAAGAAAUUAAAAAUUAGACUAUAAAUAUGUAUAUUUGAAAAAAAUAUUUAAGAGCAACAAUAAAUUCAAGAUGGUACACUAAGAAACGCCGUACAUAUCAAUACUAAGACAAAAACAGUACACCCAUUGGUACAGAACUAACUACCUUGAUUUUACUAGUUCUUAAUAUAUUUGUGUUAUAAUAAUUUGAUUUUGUUUUAUGACUAUUCAAACACUUUUUUUAUAUUUAUAAUAAUUUGAUAUUUGUGAUUACUUGAAUAUAUAUUUGUACUAUAAUAUUUAUAACACUUUAAAAAAUUACAUAUAACUAUAUCAUAAGUUAUAAAAUUUAAAAUGCAAAAAAGAAGUUAUCAUUAGUUAAUGAUUUUUUUUAUCAUAAAUAACAUAAGGGAGUAGUAAUUAAGAUUUUUAUAUGAAACAUAAUCAGGAUUUACAAAUUAAAGUUUUAAUAUUUUUGGUUAAAGGUAUAAAAUGUUGUUAGUAAAAAGUUCAAAAUUUAACUUGAAUCUUUAGAAAAAAAAAAUUGUAACCAAUUGAGCCGUAAGCGAAAAAAUCAAUUAAGUCUUUCUGCAAACAAAAAUUAUCGUUGGCCAGUUUAACUAUUAAUACAUGUUGGCAUGGCUCACAAAAGCAAUGAAAAAUUGACACAUGAAUAAAUAUACUAAUAUGAUCUGACACAUGGAUAAGUAUAUUAACAUGGUAUGCUACAUUAACAUAUAUUUUUAAAAAAUUUAAAAAUCAUAAAAAUAUUAAAAAUACACAACUAAAAUGAAUUUGGACAAAUGAAUAUUUAAGUUCAUCUAGAUGUGAAGAGCCAUUUAUCAGAUUUAGUUUAAAUGUGGUUUAAAAAAAUUGCAAAAAGUUAUUAAAUUUAUUAAAAUAUUUAAAAUGGAAAAAAUAUAAAAAAAUUAAAUUAUUAUUAUAUUUCCUUAAAAAUUCUUAUUUUUUCAAAAGGUUAAAAAAAUUAUAAAAAUUAUUAAAAAUAUUUAAAAAUGAUGAAGAUAGUCAAUUACACGUAAUAGUAUCAAAAUAUCACACAUUGUUAAUAAUUUGGAUUUUCAAUCACGUCCACUGUUGAUGCUAAAUAGCAGUUUUGGGUUGGUUAGCGAAAGUUUAACCCCUUUUUUCUUAAAAUUGAUUCUUAUAAUAUUUAUAAUGAUAAAAGUUUUACUAAAUGUUUACUUGUGCUUUUAGGAAAGUAGUCUAAGUUGUUUUUUAACUUUCUAUCAAAUGAUUUUCUUUAUUAUACUCGAACAUUAGCUAACUUUGAUGUAUGUUCAAAAAACACGAAUUGAAUGUAUAGAAUGAAAGCUUUUAUUAACUUUAUAAUAAUCGCAAACAUUUUGAACUCAAUAAAAAAUAAAAUGUCCUAUAAAUAAAUUGUCACUAUUUUUUUGACAAAAUAACGACAUUCAAUUGAUCUAUUUAGUCUUUGUUAAUAAAAAAGAAAGGAGUACAACAGUUUAAUUCGAAUAAUGGGUAAUUAAAUAAUAAUAUUGUAAUAAAAGAAUGCAGUAUUUUCUUAUGAAUGUCAUCUUAUUUUAACACUAAAACUACACUAUUAUUUAAAACUUUGAUUAAAUUAGGAUGAACUUCAACGAGGUGAUAAGAAAUUACGAAAAAGUAUAAUACUUUUAUAAAGCAGGGUAUGUGAUUAAUGUAAUUAAAAAAAUAAUAAUGUUUCUCCUCACAGGUUUUGUUUGAUAUAGAAAAUGGAGUUAUUAUAAUCAUAAAGACGUUAAUGAUUGUGAAUUAAAGUAAUAAUGUUAGGUGGGGAAGUGUGUAUUUUAAAUUAAUCAAUGCUUGACUUAAUUACGUAGUCUUUUAAUUAGUGACACCGAAAGCUAUCCAUUAAAAUAUUCUAUGGCUGUUUAACUUUUCACUGUUUUGCCACCUUAAUUAUAAAAAUCAAAUCUUAUGACACGUGUCAAAUACGAUUGGAUGACGUGGCAGUAUAUGGUAAGAAGGGAAUUUGAUCAUAUGACACGUCUCCCACUUCUACGGGGUCGUUUUUUAGGGAUAGAAAAAGCUCGAUUUUCUUAAGAGGCCAGGCAAACAUCCCCUCAGGAGCUAAAAGCAGAAAAUUAUUAUUAAUUUUAAUGAGUGGGUUUUUUCUUUGGACAUUUUGAGGAGGCAGGUAACUGAAUCUCUUGUCUCCCAGUCCCCACUUAAUAAUCCUUUCAUGACUAAAAUGCACAUGUUUGUUGACUUGUUUUUUACUUCUCACCUUAAUUCGAGGUUUAAGUUCAAUUUGAUAAAAAAUUAUAAUUGAUAAAUAAUAUUGGUAAUUAAAUUUUAUUAAAUUGAUUUUAAAACUCCAAUUAAAUUAUAUAUUUGACUGUAUUUAAUAAAUUUAACAAAAACAUAAAAAAUUCAAGCAUAAUAAUAUUAACAAAUAACUUUCAUUAAAUCAACAUUAAAAACUGAAUUAAAUACUAAAAAAUUGUGUACUAAAAUAUAUAAAUUUUAUCAAAUACAAAUAUCAUGUUAGAGAAAAAAAUACAAAUAUCACAUUAGACUAAAUAUAUAUUACAUACCACUCAUAUAAAAUGCAUUUCCCUUGUGAUAAAUAUAUAUAUAUAUAUAUUAAUUAUUAGCAAGGGUUGCUAAGGGGCUACAAAACUUGUGUAUGGUGGUUCCAACGUGAUGCGUGUUUAAGUAAUGUGAGUUAAGGUCCUCAACAGACAAAAAAAUAAAAGAGGAAAUGACCGUUAACCAAACUAAUUGAAAAACAAACAAAAAUGGAAUUAAUGAAAAAAAAAUGUGAAAGUUGGAAGAGUCAAAAAUAUUAAAAGUUUGCCUUAAAUUUGGGCCAAUGCGAUUAACUGCGGUAUGAGUGCAACACAGUACAGCCCUGUCCAGUCAACACGCAAAAUUUGAGUUUUCCCCUACAUUUAUCACCCCUGUCAAAUCACUAUAUCUCAACCGUCGGAUUGAAAUCUCUACGAGAUCCACGGCUGUGAUUAUCAAUGGGAUGUUCACGUGCACGGUAUACACCGUAUGCUGCAACCAGUUCAUGCCCUAUGUACCUUGGGAUCUAACAUUAGAUCCCAUUGUUCCCCUCAUGCAUGCAGUAAAAUUAAUAAUAAUAAUAAUCCCCAUGCAAAAGGAUAAACCUCUCAAGGAAAACAACACUCGCAACGUCUAAUAUGCGCCAGUAAGCUUAGUUGGCAAAAGACCGUUGAUUCCCAUGCACUGCACGUUACCCAAAAAACAAAAACAAAAGGAUAAUUUGUUUUUUUUUUAAAUUUAAAUAAGCAUAUAAUUUUUAGUAACUUUAUGAAAUAAUUCAUGCCCGUGGAAGAGAGGAUCCAAGGGAAAGGGUAACACCGUUCUCGACGGAGGCUUUGGAGUUAAGUUAUAAUACUAAUAGCCUUUUGAUAAUUGUGACUCAAAUGACCCCAUGAUUAACGGCGUUAACGUCGGGGGUCUAAAUGCAAAGAUAGCGAGCAGCCACUGCAUGUCCAUAAAUCGCGGUCUAAUUCUUUUUCUAUUAUUAAUUUGUUUUUGGAUUGGGAAAAUAUUUAUUAAUGGUCUGACAGUAUGUAGAAAAAUAGGGUAACGGCUAGUUGGUGGUGACGUGGAAGGGGACAAGAUGUCACGUCAGCUCACAGAAACCCUGCCACUGUAGAGUACUAAGAGGACAUCAGUCAGUCCUUAAGUAGUCGGGGAGAAUACCUUGGCAUUUAUAACUAAUUUUUAAAAAAAGAAAAUUAUAUGUUUUUAGGCUCAUGAAUUAGGAAUAGGGUUUUUCACCCUGGAAAAAAAAUUAUUUACCACAAUUAUUAACUGAAAUAAUAUGAAGGGUUUCCUGGGAAGCAGAGGCGAGACUAGACAUUUUUUGGGAGAGUCGAAUUAAAUUAUAUAUUUUUAUGAUAGUGAAAAUGUAUUUUUGUUAUUUUAAUAGUCUAUAUUUUUAUAAUUUUUAAAUGAUUAAAUUAAAAUUAUAUCAUUUAGGGGGGAAAAUGUAAUUUUUUCAUUACUAAUUUUGUAACACCCCAAACCUGGCCUAGAUGCAAUGGCCGAAUCCGAAGAUGUCACAAGAAAUAGGUUUUGAAAACAGAGUUGUUAUGUUAAAUCCUCUCAGUCUAUUAUAAGCAUAACCAAAAACGUUAAUUAAUUGUCUCUUUUGCCAAAACUUAUUUACAACGGAAGUUUAACAAAGCCGAUACCUUUCUAAAAACCCGAUUUGUAUUUUUUUUAGAAAAACUUUGUUUGUGUAAAAUCGUCGUUAUCAUAACACCUUUUAUCGUAGCGUGCAAUUUAACAAAUUAUCCAAAACCAACAGUCCAAAACCAUGCAGUCCAGAGAGUCCCAGAAAUUACAACUCUCAAAAUAAAACCAAAAUCGUAAAUAAAACCAAAAACUAAAAACUUUAAAUAGUUUACGGUCAAGUGGUCUCUGUUGAGUCCCUAACGCACCAAUCCGCCUAAGUUUGUGGAUUACCUAACAAAAUAGACAACAGAUGUGAGUUUACGAAAACUCAAUGUGUAACCCAACAGAAUUAAGCACGUAAACAAACAGAAUUAAACACACAGUCAGAAACAGAUACAGUUUCAGUUUCAGAAUCAAAUCCAGAUUCAAAUUACGAAAGCAGAUAUGCAUAAUUCCUACCACCAUCCUUUACACACCAUCUUCGACCAUCCUAUCACACCAUGUGGGGUUUAAAACACCCAGCCAACCCUAUACACGACAUUGUGCCCUCAAGACACAUAUCAGAUAAUAUGCAGUCAAGCUGCUAGAAUAAAGGUGAUUAACGCUGCACAUAAUACUUCCUCCUCAUAUACAAAUCCCACCCAAAUAACAGAUGCAGAAAAUAGAUACAGAUAUGACAGAUUUAACACGCUCAAUGUGCAUAUAUACAGAUAUUAGACAUACGUAUAACAAUACAGUCUGGCAUACGUUCAAUAUCCUAUACUGAUCAAUCUAUCAGAAUAUCAUAGCAUACAAAUUAAGGUUUAAUUAGCCCUUACCGGCCCUAUAGUAGGCCCACUAUUGAUCGAGAUGACCUGUGCGGCCCUAGAGAAAAUCUCAUAAUUAUAGACCCACACAUGUGGGCCCACAUGCCCAUAUUUGGCCUUGCCCGUAUAGCCCACACGGCCUGGCUCAGAAACUCACACGCCUAUGUGGGCCCAAAUGCCCGUGUGGCCCAUAGGCCCAACUUGGCCUUACCCGUGUGGCCUACAUGACCACACUCGAGCCAUCAUACGGUUGUAUCUUACGCACGGCCAUGCCUACGUCAUUCACACUGCCAUAUCUCGUACACAACCAUCUACACAAGCAACCAUACGCCCGUGUGGUGUUGACAAUGUAGUUUUUUUGGCUUUUGUCGAAACCUCAUUUUCUAUGUUUCGGAUACAUACCUGGUUUGUUUUAGACACUAUAGCAACCACGAACCCUCCAAAACCUAAGAAUUGACAUACCAAUGCUCAAAAUCAGUCUUAAAACACGAUUAAAUCAAAAACUUAAAACCAACAAUAGCUCAAAUCAAGCGAUUAUUACUUACCCCAACACUUCAAACAAUUGACUACAAUUUCAGAAAAAAAUCACGAUCUUCCCGGUUCAUUACUGCCAAAACAACAGUAUAACUCCAAUCAAAAUUUUUGGAAAAACACAAGUUACAGAAUAACAAAGCCUCACUUACCAGAAACGUGCGACGAAAAAAGAUAUAACGAGAACAAGGGUAUGACAGUAGAGAACAAGGGUAUGAUGGCAGACAAAAAGGAAAAUGAAAUCGAAUGGAGGAAACAAAAGAAAAAAAUGGCAGAGUCAAAGAAGACAAAGUGAAAUAACGUCAGUUCUUUUCCUAGGUAGAAAAAAUUUUUGAAAAAAGGUUUGAUAAAAAUUAAAAUAUCCACAAUCCCUUAUUUUUCUCCUAUUAUCUCCCAACCUCCUCAGAAUCUCAGUUCAACCGAAACAUUAUCAGUCAACCUAGAAAAAAUAUACAUCCACGCUUGCGCAGGGAUUCGAGCACAAGACCUCCAACACAUUAACUCCAUUACCACUUGAACCAGUAGGCUUAUUUUGAUAUGAGUUUAUAGGCAAUUUAAUAUAAGCCCACUGAACAAAGGUAAGACUUAAUUCGAAAAAAUACCAAAAUUUAGCAAAGGUGAGACUUGAGCCUAAGGCCCCUCAAACACAUAUAGAACACUUAACCAUUGAAGCAGACAAAUAUUUGUGUCAGAUAUUUACAGAAGCGGAAAUGAAUUAUUUAGGGCAUUACAACUUUACUCCCUAAAAGAAAUUUUAAACUCAAAAUUUACCUGAUCUGAACAGAUGAGGAUACUGCUGACGCAUCGAGUCUUCAGGUUCCCACAUGACCUCCUUAGUACCAUGAUUUUGCCACAGAACCUUCACUAGUGGUAUGAACUUCCUCUUUAAAACCUUAACAUCUCGAUCCAGAAUCUAAAUCGACUCCUCCUUAAAAGUCAAGUCCGGUACAGUCUCAAUGACGAAACAUGAAACAUCGUGAAUGCGGUCUAACUCCAGAGGUAACUCCAAUUGAUAAGCGACCGGUUCCACAUGCUUCAGAAUCCGAUAUGGUCAAAUAAACCUGGGUUUCAACUUGCCCUUACAACCGAAUCUCAAAACUUUUUACCAUGAAUAAACCUUAAGAAACACAAUCCCCCACAGAGUAUUCUAUAUCACGUCUCUUCAGAUCUGCAUAAGAAUUAUGUCUAUUAGAAGCCACUUUUAGAUGAUCUCAAAUCAAUUUAACCUUGUCUUCGGUCUUAGAAACCAACUCAGGAUCUAAAACCUAACGUUCAUCCAACUCAGUCCAACAUAGUGGAGUGCGACACUUACAACCAUACAAAGCCUCGUACGGUGCUAUCUGAAUGCUAGCCUGGAAACUGUUAUUGUAGGCGAACUCAGCUAGUGACAAAUAAUCUUCCCAAAUACGCUGAAAUCUAAUACGUAACUCCGAAGUAUAUCCUCCAGUAUUUGAAUCACCCUCUCAAAUUGACCAUGGGUCUGAGGAUAGAACGAAGUACUGAAGUCCAAUCUCGAACUCAGAGCCUCAUGCAACUUCUUCCAGAACUGAGAAGUGAAGCGAGGAUCUCUAUAAGAAAUAAUUGAAACAGGAACCUCAUGCAGUCUUACAAUUUCAGAGAUAUAGAGCUUCGCUAGCUUCAGCAGAGAAAAGUCAGUUUAAAUCGGAAUGAAGUGAGCAGACUUAGUUAAUCGAUCCACGAUGACCCAAACAGAAUCUUUCUUAGUGGGUGUCAAGGGAAACCCACUAACGAAGUCUAUAAUCACUCAUUCUCACUUCCAAAAAGGAAUCUUAAUGGUUGUAGCAAACCCGAAAGCAAUUGGUGCUUAGUCUUAACUUGCUGAUACGUCAGACAACAAGCUACGAAAUUAGUAACUUCGCGCUUCAAUCUCAGCCACCAAUACAAUUCACGAAGAAUGUGAUACAUUUUAUUACUACUGGAAUGCAUAGCAUAAUGGCUACUAUAUGCCUCCCUCAUAAUCGACUGUCUCAAAUCUGAAUCAUUCAGCACACAAAUCUGACCUCGAAAACAUAGCACCCCAUCAUUAUUCAACCCAAAAUUUGAAAUACUGCCACUCUCAAUCUAACGAAACUGCAAACCUAAAGACUCAUCCCCUAACUACUUAUCUCGAAUCUGAUCAAUCCAAGUCGACUUAACUUGCAACUUUGCUAACAGGCUCUCAUUAUCAAACAAGCUAAGUCGAGUGAACAUUGUUCUUAAAUCCGUCAUCGCCUUACGACUUAGAGUAUCGGCCACCACGUUGGCCUUACCAGGAUGAUACUCUAUCGUGCAGUCAUAAUCUUUAAGCAGCUCAAUCCAUCGAUGCUAUCUAAGAUUCAACUCAUUCUGAGUAAGGAGUUACUUGAGGCUCUUGUGAUCAGUGUAGAUAAUACACCUUUCACCAUAAAGAUAGUGCAUCUAGAUUUUCAAUGCAAAGAUUACAGCAGCCAACUCGAGAUUAUGCAUCGAAUAGUUUCCUUCGUAUGGCUUGAGCUGACAGGAUGCAUAAGCCAUAACCUUACCAUUUUACAUCAAUACACAUCCCAAACUGACAUGCGAUGCAUCACUGUAGGCCACAAACUCUUUACCAAAUUCAAGCUGUAUCAGAACAGGAGCCUGAGUCAAAAGAGACUUCAGCUUUUCGAAGCUUGAUUGUUGCGCAUCAAUCUAGAUAAAUGGAACACCCUUACACAGAAACUUAGUCAAAAGAGCUACAAUCAGAGAGAACCUCUCGUCAAACCACUGAUAAUAUCUCGCCAAACCCAGAAAACUAUAGUUUUUAGAUAUGUUUUUAGGCUGUUUCCAAUCUAGCACAACCUUAUAUUCCUUGGAUCAAUACGGAUCUCCUCAACAGAAACCACAUGCCUCAGAAAAGUCAUUUCACACAACCAAAACUUAUACUUGUUCAACUUAUCGUAAAGUUGUUUCUCACGUAGAAUCUGAAGUACUACUCUAAAAUCCUCAUCAUGUUCAUCAUCGAUCUUAGAGUACACCAGAAUAUCAUCGAUCAAAACCACGAUGAACUAAUCUAGAUAUGACUGAAAGACUCGGUUCAUCAGACCUAUGAAUGCAGCCGAGCAUUCGUUAGACCAAAAGGCAUAACUAGGAACUCGUAAUGUCCAUAAUGAGUCCUAAAUGUAGUCUUAUGAAAAUCAGCUUUCUUAACCUCAAUUGAUGAUACCCAGAACGAAAAUCUAUAUUAGAGAACACUGAAACCCCUUGGAACUGAUCAAACAAGUCAUCGAUCCUCGAAAGUGGAUACUUAUUCUUCACAGUUAACUUAUUCAACUGUCGAUAAUUUAUGCAUAUCCUCAUGGUCCCAUCUUUCUUCUUAAAAAACAGAAUUGGUGCCCUCACGGAGACACACUUAGACGGAUAAAACCACGAUCCAGAAGCUCUUGUAGUGAAGCUUUAAGCUUUGUAAGCUCCUUCGAUACCAUACGAUAUGGAGCGAUAAACACCGGAGCUGUACUUGAUAGAAGCUAAAUUUUAAACUCAACUUCCCGAUUCAGAGGUAAACCCGGUAACUCCCCAAGAAAGACAUUAAAAAAAAUCCCUCACUAUUAUGAUAUCCCAACAAAAAAGUCCCUAGAAUCAGAAACACUGACGUAAGCCAAGUACACCUCACACCCUUUUCAAACUAGUUUUUUACCCAUAAGAGUAGAGAUCAUAUUGGACAAAUAGUCUCGACGCUCACCAAUCACAACGACCUCUAUAUCAUCCUUGGUCCUCAGAACGACCCUCUUAGAUACGCAAGCUAAACUGACUCGGUGCUCAACCAAUCAGUCCAUACCAAGAAUUAAAUCGAACUCCUUAAACGGAAGCUCAAUCAGAUUUACCAGAAAAAGAGCCCUUUGUACCACUAACGGAACAUCCCUAUAUAGUUUACUAACCCGAACAGACUGCCCCAAUAGACUUAGUACAGUGACCUCAAUAAAAGUACUCUUAAUAAAAAAAUUUAAGUUUUUAGAUAUAAUGCUAGCUACAUAGGAGUGAGUAGAACAUAUGUCUAUCAAAGCAGUAUAAGGCACAUCAAAUAGGAGUAAUGUUCUGAUGAUGAAAUCAGGAGCAUCUUUAUCCUCUCGGCGUCGUGUCGUAUAUACCAGCACAAGUUGUCUUGCCUCAGUCUGGCCAGCACCUCUACCUAGUGGUCUCUGCCCACAACCCAUACCAUUACUACCCCCAGCCUAUCCACUACCUCUAGAUGGCUGUUGAACUGUCCUCUGAGGUUGCACAGAACCUGAUUCUGAAGCCUACAUCUGGUUAACUCUUUGUGGACACUCUCGAAUACGGUGCUUAAAUGACCCACAUAUCAGACAAGCUCCUAUCCUCCUCCAACACUCGUCCGGAUGGUGUCUGCUACAAUCAUCGCACAGCUGAAUCCCAUAAAGAGUAACAGGAGCCCUUACUCUAACUGUCCCAUCAGAUCUAGCCUUUUUCUUAGUCCUCUGAAUAGAACUAGAGGGCUCCGAAUCAUUUUUGUUCUUACCCCUCUUUCGAUCUCUAUUUUGGCGCUCCACGCACUUAACAUCCUCUGCAAUUCUACUUUUCUGAACCAGAAUCGCGAACUUCUGCUCCUUCAGUAAAGUAAUCAAAACCUUCAAGUUAUUCCUCACACCGCCCUCAAAGCGGACGCACCUCUCAUACUCAGACACUACCAUGCCUCGAGCGUAACAUCUCAGCCUCAGAAACUCAGCCUCACACUCAGCCAUAGAUCUAUCGCCUUGCGUGGGAUUCAUGAACUCAAGCUUACGAUCAUCUACAUAAUCCUCUUCCAUGUACUUACUCUAAAAAGUGGUCUUAAAUAAUUCCCAAUUCAGACGAUCAGGCUGAGUACCCUCCUCAACUGUCAGCCUUAUUACGAAGCAAAGAGACUACACCUUUCAGUUUCUACUUAGGAGUACAGUCUAGGUCAUUCAUGAUCCUUUUGGUGGCCUCCAACCAAUACUCGGCCAUAUUAGGGACGACUCUAGCGACACCUCUAAACUACUCAGCACCAUAGGACCAGAGUCGUUCAGUUACCAACCCUCGGCCCCCAGCUCCAAAAUGGGGUCCAGCGAUCCUUUCCAAAAUUUUUAGUAUGGCUUGGGACAGUGCGUGAUCCCCAACCGAGUGACUUUGAGAUCCAGUCUCAUUAGCAAGUGAAACUGAUGUCUCACUCGUAUCUAAGUUCGGCAUACUACCCAGAGAAGAAAAUUCAGCUCGAGCUCUCCUAUGGCCUCUACAACGGCCCUGAAUACCAUUUUCGUGAGUUUUACCAACGCUUAAUGUAUAAUUCGUAUUUUAUCUAUAUUAUAAAAUUUUAUACACCAGUUCCAGUAUUUAUUAGCAAAUGUUUUAUGCAAAAAUUAUCAAAAGUUCAGAAUUGUUUCCAAAGGUUUCAGUCUCUAACUACUCAGUACUGUUUCAGAAAGUAUUAACUACAAUAUUUUUAAAGUUUUCUAUAAAAAAAUUAGAAAUACUUAUAGGAUUAGCGUCGAAGACUCGGUGUUCCACAUAUUUUCCAAUUUAUCCAUAAAUAUUUGAAAACCAAUUAUUUUCAAAAUAAAAUUUUAAAAUCCAAAAUUCACAGCUCGAGUUUUACAACAUGGCUCUGAUACCACUAAAUGUAACACACCAAACCCAGUCUAGACGCGAUGGCUGAAUCUAGAGAUGUCAUAAGGAAUGAGUUUUAAAAAUAGAGUUAUUACGUUAAAUCCUCUAAGUCUAUUAUAAGCAUAACCGAAAAAGUUAAUUAAUUGUUUCUUUUUUUCAAAACUUAUUUACAAUAGAAGUUUAACAAAAUCGAUACCUUUCUGAAAACCUGAUUUGUAUUUUUUUUAGAAAAAAAUUGUUUGUGUAAAACCAUUGUUACCAUAACACCUUUUUAUCAUAGCGUGCAAUUUAACAAAUUAUCCAAAACCAAAACCAACGUCCAAAACCAUGCAGUCUAGAGAGUCCCGGAAAUUAUAACUCUCAGAUUAAAACCAAAAUCCUAAAUAAAACCAAAAACUAAAAACCAAAAACCAUAAACUAAAAACUUUAAAUAGUUUACACCACAUUGUGCCCUUAAGAUACAUAUAGGAUAAUGUGCACCUAAGCUACCAGAAUAAAGGCAAUUAACGCUGAACAGAAUAUUUCCUUCUCAUAUACAAAUCCUACCCCAAUAAUAGAUGCAGAAAACAGAUACAGAUACGACAGAUUUAACAUGUUCAAUGUGCAUAUAUACAGAUAUUAGACAUACGUAUAGCAAUACAGUCAGGCAUACGUUCAAUAUCUUACACAGAUCAGUCUAUUAGAAUAUCAUAGCAUAAAAAUUAAGGUUUAAUUAGCCCUUACUGACCCUACAGUAGGCCUAUAAUCGAUCGGGAUGACCCGUGCGGCUCUAGAAAAUAUUUCAGCAUUAUAUACCCACACAUGUGGGCCCACACACCCGUAUGGCCCACACGCCCAUAUUUGGAAUUGCCCAUGUGGCCCACACUGCUUGGCUCAGAAACUCACAAGCUCGUGUGGGCCCAAAUGCCCGUGUGGCCCACACGACCAUACUCUAGCCACCAUGUAACAGUCCGAUUUAGAUCCUAAUCGGAAUGGUAGUUUCGGGACCACGAAUCUGAGUCAAAAAAUAUUUAAAUAUUAUUAUUCGUGUUUAUUAUAAGUGAAUUUACAUGUGUGAAAAUUUCGUACGAAAAUUUGAUUGUUUGUGUGAUUAAUUUGAAUAAAGGACUUAAUCGCGUAAGUUGAAAACUUGAUAGUUUAAAUCAUAAAGGUUGAUUUGAUAGUGGCUUUUUAAUAUGGAUUAUUUAUGUUGCAAAUAAUCCUUUAUUUUUGUAAUGGCCGAAUGUACACUUAAUGAAUAUGUUUAUGAUAUUAUUUUUAUAAGUUUAAAUAAAUAAAAUAUGUUAAAUGUUAACAUAUAAUAUAUUAAAACAUAAAAAAAUAAUAAAGCCAUGCAUUCAUACUUUGUUAUUGCCGAAAAUAAAAUAAGAAAGAAAAUAAAAAAGAAACAAGGUAUUUGGCCAUUGUUGGUUCAAUUUUAAGGUAUGUUUUGUUUCGAUCUUUGAUGAUUUUAAGGUUUUUGAGAUCGUUGCUUUAAAUACUACCCGACCCAUGCUUAAAUUUUUUAUUUUGGUGAAUAUUUGUGUUAUGUGAUUGAUGAAUAAUUGUGUUUUGUGAUGUUUGAUGAUGAAAUAUUACAAAUAUAUUUUAGAUUAACAUUUUGUAUUGGAGUUUUUGAUGAUUUUGAGUUAUUAGAAUUAAACUGCAAAAAUAAUAAAUUUAAGGACUAAAAUGCAAAAUAAAUGAAAUAUAUGGACUAGUAUGAGUAUGUUGAAAAUUCGGCUCAACUAUGUUGUUGUGAGAUUUGGUGUAUUUUGUGUUUUGUGCAAUUUGGACUAAAUUGUAAAAGUUUGAAAUAUUAGGGGUAAAAUGGUAAUUUGUCUAUUUAUGUGUUGUUGGAUUAAAUUGAAUGAAAUUGUAUUUAAAUGAGGUUAAUUUGAAAUUAUAGAGAUCAAGAACAAAGGAAAUCAGACUUGGAUCGGGGAAAAACAAAAAUAGUCGAAUAGCCGAUUCGUAACGUCCGUCGAUAUUCGAGGUAAGUUUUUAAGCAAUUAAACAUGGUUUAUUUUGAACAUAGAAUGUUUAACUAUGAUGAUUCAAAUUUUAUAAUCUAUUAUUAUGUUAGUCGAAUGUGAUAUAUAUAAAUGAUUUAAUGUAGUUGAGUUUUAUUCGAUUGAUUUGAAAACCAUGAAAGUGUGUAUGUGUUACAUGGAAUAUUGAACUACUCAAUAUGUGAAAUGUUGUGGAAUGAUUCUAUAAUUUGGAUAUUCGGCCUUUGAGCCUAGCAAGCUUUCUGCUGGUGACAUUGAUCGGGCUUCGUGCCUAGCAGGCUUAUUGCCAGUGAAUAAAUAUCAGACCUUGGGUCUAGUAGACUUUGUGCCAGUGUGUAAUUCAUGCUUAUGCCUAGCAGGUUUUAUACCGGGGAUUUGUGUUCAAUUCUAUGAUUAUAAGAGUUCAAGUUACUAUGGAUAUUGAGGAAGUGAAAUUGAGUUGAAUGACAUUGUCUAAGUUCGGCCACAUAGGUAAGUAUAUGUGAGCUUAUAGUGAACUUGAAUAUUCGAUUACAUGUGAGUUUAUAUUGAAUUUGUGUAUUCGGUCAUAUGUGAAGUUAACUUGAAUGUGCAUAUUCGGCUAUAUGUGAUGUUCUAUUGAAUUUGAACUAUAGGUUACAUAUGAUGUUUUAUUUAACUUUUAUAUAUUCGGCCAUAUGUGAGUCCAUUAAGAAUUUUGUGAAUUCGGCCAUACAUGUAAGUGCUAAUGUGAUAACAUAUUUGUUCUUGUAUAAUCAGCUAUAUAGGAAAUAUAUAUAUGGUGAUAUAUAUUCGAUUUUAAACAUUCGGCUAAGGUAUCUUAAUGUGUUAAUGUGUAAUAUUAUUGAUAUAAUUCGGUUAGUUGAAUGUUUUGAUUAUUCAUUGAGUUGUUUAUUAUGCUUAAAGCUUACUAAGCUAAGUUAGCUUACUCUGUGUGUUUGUUUAUUUUGUUUUAUAGAUUUUAGUUGUAAGUCACGAGCUCGGGGAUCAUUAUCGAAGUCAUCCACACUAACGUCAACUUUCGGUACUAUUAAAAGUUUAUUUUCGAACUUAUAUCAUGUAUAGGCUAAUAUGUAUUUUGUUCAACUUCGAAUAUGUAUAUAUAUAUUGAGCCAUGUGAAUAUGGCUUAUCUUUAGAGUUUGGAUAUGGUUAUGUUUGGCAAUGGUUUAUCACAUUUUGAUUAUAUGUAAAUGUGAAUGGUAUUAUAUGUGCUGGUAAUAGCUUGAAAUGAUAAGUGGAAUUGGCUGUGGUUGGUCGCUUGGUUUUGAUAUGUUUAAAUAUAAAUAAAUAUGGUUUGAUGAUUUGAUUUUGAUGUACGUUUAUUCAUUUAUAAACGUGAGAUCAGGUGUUAGCAUGUUUAAUGUAUACUAGAAAUACAUGAUAUGAGGCAUGCCUAUAUUCGAAUAUGCAAAGAUUAGUUUAGUUCGGUUUGCAUGGAAAAAAAAUGUAUAAGUACUAUAAUUAGUUAUGAGUUUAUUAAUGGUGAAUUAUUGAGAUUUUAUUGUUUAAUAAUGUUUGUAAGUGAGACAUUGAUAAAUGUCCAUUUGAAUAGUGAUUUUAUGCAAUAGUACACCAUGAGCAUUAUAUGCAAUUUUGCAAAAUUGAUAAUUAUGUGUACGUAUAUACAUGUACUUUGAUUGUUAAUUCGAAUGAUGGUUUGGGUAUAUAAUGAAAGUAUAUGCGUAUGUUUAUAUUUGUUAAUGAAAAUGUGAUUAUUUAAAAGGUAUAGAUUCGGUUAAAUUUGGAGGUAUGAUUCGUGAAUGCAAUAUGAUAAAUAAAGCAUGUUUAAUAUUUAAUUAGCCAUGUGCUUUAUAUAUAUUUAUGAGUAUGAAUUGUAUGAAUAUGUGAAUGUUUGUAAUUUUAUUUUUGCUCAGUAAUGCCUUGUAACCCUAAUUCGGCGACGGGUAUGGGUUAGGGGUGUUACACACCACACAGUCGUGUCUUACACACGGCCAUGCUACGCUAUUCACAUGACCGUGUCUCGUACACGGCCAUCCAUACGAGCGUAUAGGUACUUCAUUGCUAUCUGUUUGGCAUUUCACGCUUUCGAUAAUAUGCUUUGUAACCAUAUCAGUUUUGCAUUUCUACAACCAAGACAAUUAUAGGAAUAGUGGGCUUCACCUCAACCAAUGGCUUGAUACAUAUGCUGACAUAUACUAGAAGAUGAUGCUUUAUAAACCUCAUACAUAAGUUUGAGAUCAUAAUCAUAGGGAAAAAUGGCCUCACCAGUAUAAUCAACAUAUUUUUUUUCUCCAUCAAAGUAAUAUCCUUAACCUCAUUGUCCAAAACCUAUGUUAGAGAUUGGGGUAAGAAGAUUUUUGAGGGGGAGUGACUAUGACAAUGGAGAAAAGCUUAAACGUGACUUCUGGCGAUAGCGAUCGUUGUCGCAUUGACUCGUGUUUUAACUUUUUAUGUACCGUCACUAUCACUUACCCCCUGAAAGUUUUUUUACUCUCACAUCUGACAAAAGUUUUGGACAAUGAGGUUAAGGAGACUACUUUGAUGGAGAAAAAGAAUAAGUUGGUUAUACUAGUGAGCCCCUUUUUCCCCUAUGAUUAUGAUCUUAAACUUAUGUAUGGGGUUUAUAAAGCAUCAUUUUCUGAUAGCAUAAAACUUGAACUGUGACCGCAUAACUACCAUCAACUAGGGGUUCAAGUUAUGUUAGAACCCAUGAUCGCAUAACUACCGCCAACUAGGAUCCCUAGUUAUACUUGAACUCGUGACUGUAUAACCACCGUGAACUGGGAGCCCGAGUUGCAAUGUGACAUCUUCUGAGGUGAUGGUGCACUCCCCACACUGGAAAUGAAAUGUGUGGGGCUUGAAGUCUCACAACAUCAUUGUAAACUCAAACAUACCUGAAAACUAUCAUAAUUUCUUCGUAAAACACAAACACAAUCAAUUCUUUCUCCCCAAAUUUUCAACACCCAACAAAAAAAACAACUUUUUGAAAGAACGAAACUUAAAUUUGAAAAAAAAGGACCUAAUUUGCUAAUUAACUUUUUAAAAUGACAUUUUUGCAAUUGUUUUAUUGUAUAUUUAUAUGAUCUUUUCAAAAUAUAAACAUAUUAAAAAAAUUACGAUAUCCCCCAAGUUAAAUUUUAAUAUUUAAAUUAAAAAUAAAUAUUAUUACAGACUUCAAAUAUGAAAAUAUUUGAAAAUAAAAAUUUUAGGAUUAAUCAACAAAGAGUUUUAAUUAUAAAAUUUAUAUCAAAGAGGAAUAAUUUAAAAGUAUUAAAAAUUUGAUAAUACAAACAUACCAUCAAAUUUUUGAAUAAUAAUUAGUGACAAUAGUUAUACUUAGCAUAUAAUUUUGCAAUAAAUAAGAAUACAAAAAUAGAAGAAUUUAUUUUUAAAAUAUUUUGAAUUUAUUACUACUUUACAUUUAUAUUUAAAAAAAAAGACAUAUAUAGGUUGUUGGUUUAUCAAUUUAAUUAACUCACCCCGAUCCCUCUUUUUCUAUAGACAGACUUUCUAUAUUGUUUGUCUAAUAUAUACCAACACUCGGUCUAGAACUACCAGUUUUGCCUUUUCCUUUAGCUUUUUCGUGCUCACUAUCGAUCUUACCGCUUUCUUAUUCGACCUAUCAAAUUUCUUAAGCAUUUGAACCGACACACCCAACCAUAACACUAAGAGCUUGUUUGGUUUGGUGUAUUGGCUAAGCCAAUACACCCCUAAUCGGUGGGGCCCACCUAAUACCAAUCUAAGACGCCGUUUGGUUGAGCGUAUUGCUAAUACGCGUGUAUCCCCUUACUUCCCUAAUCGGUGAAAAGCACCGAUUUCUAUUCCCCCCCUUCUUCCCAGAUUAGAUGACCCUACCCUAAACCUUCCCUCUUUUACCCCUAAUCGAUCCCCUCUGUUUCUCUUCCGUUUCCCACCUUCAUCCGAAUUGCUUCCUUGUUUCAUUGCUUUUUCCCAGUAUUAUUUUCUUCCCUUUUCUGCCGAUUUGCUCCCCCGAUUAUUUUCUUUUCUAUUUCGGCCGAUUUGCUCACAGUUUCUGCCGAUUUGCGUCAUCGGUUAGUCUAUGUUUCCCGAUAGAUUAAUAUCCUUUGCUAUUGUAGAUGAAAACCAAUACUUUCGAGGUAAAUAUGAUCUAUUGUUUUUAUCUAAUCGGUUUCCCCUUUUGCUUUUUUCAGGUUCUUCUUCAUUGUGCCCCGAUUUGCUAAUAGGUUAGUUUUAGCCAAUUUUAUUCUGUUUGUAUUGCAUGUUGAAUUGAAAUGUGUUUUCUGUUGUUGGUUAGGCUUAAGAAAUGCAUGCCGUUCGAAGUUUUUCUCUCUUCUCUGCUAAUCUUCGAUUUCUGUUUGUUCUGUUGUAAUUUUUGAGUCCUUUUCUAAUCUCCAAAACCGCGAAUGAGAUUUCUUCCAAUGUUUGUUUGUUUAAGUGCCUGAACUGAGUAGCAAAAAUAGGUAAGAUCAUUGAGUUCUUUUGGUCCUCUGAAAGUAGCAAAAAUAGGUAAGAUUUCUGCAGUUCGAGUUCUUUUGUUUGUUUGUUCUGUUGUAAUUUGGUCCUCUGAAAGUAGCAAAAAUAGGUAAGAUGAAAAUGUUAGAUGAUAACGAAUGUUCAAAACAAUUUAUAAUGUUAAGAAUAUUGAAUUUCAUGCUGAGUGCAGAUCAGAGAAACUAGAAGCUGUUAGAUGCAAUUUGUGUAGUCUGGCUUUGGGGUUUAGGGGUGAAGAUACUGAUACUGGUACUUAGAGGUCUUUCAUGUAUUCCAUUUUUUCUAAAUAGUUAAUUAGGAUGAACAGAAAUAUGAUUUUUUUAAGAUAUUAAACAUUUUGGAAUUUGACAGCUUGUUAUUGAUUGAAUAGGAUGUUUGAUAUGAGUAAGAAUUUCUAUUUUCUUUUUGUGUUUUAAUCUAUGAAUUUGGGCAAGAUAUGAAUUUGAGUCAUAUGUGUAUAACUACUUUGUUGUAAAUUACGAAUAAAAUUUGAUAUUUUCAGCCUUUGAUAAACAGAAAAGCAAUGAUGAGUUGGAUUUUCCAAUCAGUGUAAUAUGAUUUUUUUCUUCUAACCAAGCUAUCUAUAUGUUUAUGUUUAAUUGUAGGUCCAAAGUUCUGAAUUCUAUAGUCAAACUUCUAAUGUUUCAUCGGAACUUUUUAAAAAGCAAUAAUAUUUUUGCAAAAUUCCCUACAACUACCUUUUAUCAACUUGUUACAGUCAUUAAGUUCUAUUGUUGGUUUUUGAACUUAUCAAAGUACAUUGUGUUUGGAUCAUUUAUUAAACAUAAUUAUGUAUUUUCUGCUAGUAAUAUCACAAGAUUUUGUUGGUUUGUUCUGGACAUUGUUUUGAUAGUCUGUUGGAAAAUGUUAUUUUAGUUUGUUAGUGAGUAUAAGAUGAAACUGUUGUGGAAGAUGAAAUGUUAUUUUAGUCUGCUGGACCUUGUUCUUGAUUUGUUAGUCAAUAGAAUUUGUUAUUUUAGUUUUUUUGGACCUUGUCUGUUGGAAAAUUUUGAUUUGUUCUUGAUUGGGACGAGUAUAGGAUUUGAAGAGCAUGUGUUUUGAACAUAGGCCGUGAUAAUACAAAGGAAAAAGUCAGCCAUUAAAACAAGCAAGUAAUUACUUUCAGUUUCAAAUAGCAUUCAAAAUAGGCUUUCCUCAUUUGCUUUCAAAAAAAUGCUGAUGUUCUUGAAAAAACUUGUAAAAGCAAGUAAUUAAUUUCAUUAAAAUACCUUACCUUUCAAGCAUCACUUUUCAUGCCCUUCAUGAUGUUUUAGGGUGAAAGUUUGUAAUCUAUUUACCAAAGCUAAAUUAUAAUUAUAUCUUUCUUUAUAUGAUAUUUCACCGACCAAAGUAAGCUAAUUUAAUGUGAUUAAUUGCUCUCUUUUUAUUAUGGUUUACGUCACUAUCGCUCAAACCAUAUUAAUUUCGUUUACUUUUGUCUCUAAUUUUUUUUUACAUUGGUAUUUAAAUUAUUUAUCGAUUACUGUUUUUAGUCAAAUAAUUUAACGAGUUUAAAAAAUAAAUACUCCAUCCGAUUAUUAUUUUUAUUCAUAUUUAACAAUCUUAAGAUUUGCUUACCUAGUUUAUUACUUGUAUAAUAUUUGUCAUGAGAGCAAUUUUAAGUUAAAAUUGUCACUUAAUCCAAUUUAACAAAGUAAAAGGAUUAAAUUUUUAAAAUUAUAAAUAAAUAAAUUAAAUUUUAAAUGUGUAAAAAAUAUAGAGACGAAAGAAUAAUUAAACCAAAAAUGGGGCUUGUGACCUAAUCUAUCAAAAAAAAUUCUUUAUGCGGCAAAGGUUGUUAUUAUUUAAAAUAGUACAGGUAAUUUAUUAUAAAUUUGAUGUUUAAUUAAAUUAUAAAUAUUAUGAUACUAAUAAUGAGAACAUUAUUAAUAACAUAAAUAUAAUUGUAAUUAUUAUAAUUUUUAUCUUUAAUAUUAAUAAUUUGAAAUUAAUAAUAAACAUGAAACCUGUUUGUUAAGUAUUAAUGUUGAUAUAAUUAUUAUAAUUUUUAUCUUUAAUAUUAAUAAUUUGAAAUUAAUAAUAAACAUGAAACCUGUUUGUUAAGUAUUAAUGUUGAUAUAAUUUUAUGUGGAGAGAAUUAUAUUUUUAUAUUAAUUAAUAAAAAUUAUCAUAUAUAUCUAAAAUAUACGUAAAAAUUAUCAUACACCAACAAUGUUUUUUAGGGUAAAUAACAUUAAACCAACAAUUAUACAUACACCAACAAUGUUGUUUAGGGUAAAUAACAUUAAACCAACAAUUAAACCAACAAUUAUACAUACACCAACAAUGUUUUUUAGGGUAAAUAACAUUAAACCAACAAUUAUACAUACACCAACAAUGUUUUUUAGGGACAAUAACAUUAAACCAACAAGUAAUUUUAGGUCAAUUAUACAUACACCAACAAUUAAUUUUAGGUCAAUUAUACAUGCUUUAUAAUUUCUUUAUUGUUUGGGUGAUUCAUAAAGAAAUGAAAUUAAAGUUGCAACGAUAUCAUUUAGUAUCAACUAUUUUGCUUCGUGUGUUCUAAAUUUGUAUUGUUUAUUUUUAUUUUAUAAUGUGUAAUUGCAACUUCAAUUCAUUGAUAGUGUGUGUUAUAAUUUUAAUAUGUUGCAGUAAUGGCUCGUCUGCAUUUAAUUGCACAAAGUGUGAGGCGUAAAAGAAUUGGUCUUGCUUUGACAUUAUGGUUGGAAAUCUGUAGAAUUGCGAUUUGGUUCUUGUUUAGAAUGGGUGCCAGCCUUAGCCUACAGACUUAUCAACCAAGGAUUAGGUCCUACACCUUCGAUUUGUAUGCAAAACGGGAUUAUGUGAAGAGGCUUGUAUAUGCUAGUGACGAGACUUGUAUUGAACAAGUUAGGAUGAAUAGAACUGCCUUUUGUAAACUAUGUGAGAUGUUAGAAUCGAUAGGGGGAUUGAAGUCGUCAAGGUUCAUGCUUGUUGAUGAGCAAGUAGCAAUGUUUUUACAUAUCAUCUCCCAUCACCUGAAAAAUCGAGUUAUCAAGCAUCACUUUAGAAGGUCCGGGGAAACUGUAAGCAGAGCAUUUCAUAGUGUUUUAGAUGCUGUCAUACGCUUACAAGAUGUCUUAUUUAAAAAGCUAGAGCCAAUUACAGCCGACUCUUCUGACACAAGGUGGAAAUGGUUUAAGGUAGUAGAUUGAGUUUUAGAUAUAGCUUGUACAACAUUUUUAGUUGACUUAGAUUUAAAUUAGUAUUCUAACACAAGGUUUUAUAUCAUGUGAUAUAGAAUUGCUUAGGUGCUCUUGAUUGAACCCACAUAAAGAUUAGGGUGCCAACAGCUGAUAAACCUAGAUAUCGAACUCGAAAAGGUGACAUAGCAACAAAUAUGCUAGGUGUUUGUACACCUGAUAUGCAAUUUGUUUAUGUUCUUCCUGGUUGGGAAGGUUCAGUUGCCGAUGGACGGGUGCUCCGAGAUGCCAUCAGUAGAAGACAUGGACUUAAAGUUCCUCAUGGUACAGUGUAUACUUAGAGGAAUUUGAAUUACUCAUUAAGAUCAAACUUUGUUUGCUGAAUUAAUCAUUUUUUAGCCAAUUUAUUUUAUAGGUUGUUAUUAUCUAGUUGAUGCUGGAUACACAAAUUGUGAGGGAUUUCUUGCACCAUUUAGAGGACAGCGAUAUCAUCUGAACGAGUGGCGUCAGGGUUAUCAGCCAAGUUCUCCGCAAGAGUUUUUUAAUAUGAAACAUGCCUCAGCACGUAAUGUCAUUGAAAGAUGCUUUGGCUUAUUAAAACUUAGAUGGGGAAUACUUAGGAGUCCAUCGUUUUAUCCUGUAAGGGUGCACAAUAGAAUUAUUAUUGCAUGUUGUUUGCUCCAUAAUUUUAUUCGAACCCAUAUGAGUAUUGAUCCCAUUGAAGCGGAGGUGGGAGAAGGAUUACCUACUAAUGUGGUGGAUGACGAUGAACCGAAUAUCACAAAUAUUCAUCCAUCGGAUGCUUGGGCAACUUGGAGGAUGGAACUAGCCAACCAAAUGUUCGAUGAAUGGCAAGCAUCUAGAAAUUAGUUAGGUUUAGGGACAAAUUCAGUUUGAAUUGAUUUGUUGAUGUUUUUUUAUGUAUAAACUUUGUGAAACUUUGGUGGUCUUUAUGAAACUUUAUGAAACUUUGUUGAAUUAUAAUGUAAUUAUCUUUUCAUUAAGCAUGUGUUAUAAAUUUAAAUUUAGUAUUGAACUACCGAUAUAAUAUUAUAAACUGUUCACCCAACAAUUAAAUGAUAUUCAAAAUAGUAAAUAAUGUUAAUUUGUUUUUUUUUUUUUAAGAACAAUAUGUCAGGUGUUCCACCAACGGGUGCUUCUUCUCAAGCUUCUCGAGGAAGCAAAAGAAAAUGGGUUCCAGAGGAGGAUGCAGCCUUGGUUUCUUGCAUGGUGGAUUUGCACAAUGUAGGAACAUUUAAUGCUGAUACCGGGUUCAAAGCCGGUUAUUUGAACGAGCUAGAGAAAAUGCUAGAAAAGGCUUUACCAAGAGCAAUGUUGAAGGCGAAACCAAAUAUUGAAUCUCGGAUUAGGUGCCUAAAAAGGGAAUGGUCAGUCGUCUACGACAUGCUUAAUGGCCAAAACAACAGUGGUUUUGGUUGGGACGAGCAUAGGCAGCUCGUUGUUGCUGAAGAUGGAGUUUGGGAAUCCUAUGUAAAGGUAAAAUGUAUUUCAAGUAUUUAUUUGUUUUUUUAAAAAACUUAUAACUAAUAUGAUUUCCUCAUUUUUUUUAGAGUCACAAAGAAGCCUCUCAGUUCAGACAUCGUUCUUUCCCUUACUACAACCAGCUUACUGCCAUAUACGCAAGAGAUCGGGCGACUGGGAAAGACGCUCAAACAGCUGCUGAUGUUCUUGAAGAAAUACAUGCUAAGGAUGAUCGUACUACAGAUAUGAAUGAAGAGAGAAACACAUUCUAUGACUGCGAAGCUGACGUCUCUUUAGACGACAUGGAUGUUUCCGGUAUGGAUCCGCGAGGAGAUAGAGAUCAAGGGGGUUCCUCAUCUUCAAACAAGAGAAAAAGAAAUAUGAUGCUCGUGAUAAUGUGUAUGCUUCAUUUGAGGAGGCUGCCACCUUGUUGGGGGAAAAAAUCCAGGCCGUUGGCGAUCAAAUCAGUAGGACUAUGGCCUCCGAGGUGGUAGUUCAGCAGAAGUCUGAAGAAAAGAUGGAAGAGAAAGCUUCAAAUUUAUAUUCAGCCUUAUGGUCAAUUGAAGGUUUAACCGACGAUCAGCGGUAUGAUGCUUUGAGUAAAAUUCCCGAUCAUCCAACUCAAAUGAUCGUUUUCUUCAGUUUACCUUCUGUUGCCCGAUUGGAAUGGGUCAGAAGAUUUCUUUCUCACCAUUAAAUAUCAAUGUUCAAACUUUUUGAUGUUGUAAAACUUUUGAACAUAUUGAUUAUGAUGUACAAUUUCAUUUUCAUCUAACUUUUUCUUAGUAUAAGUUAAUUAUGUUUAUGCAGAAUAUAAUUUUCAAGUUAUAUAUUUAAUAAUAAUUAUGUUAAUUUAUAUUUUACAGUAUCAUAUAUUAUGAUUUGAGUAAAUUAAUAUAAGAAUAUUAAUUAUUAAGAAUUUUUUUAAAUUAUAUAGUUUAAUUAAAAUAUAUUUAAUAAUAAUUAAGUUAAUUUAUAUUUUACAGUAUCAUAUAUUAUGAUUUGAGUAAAUUAAUAUAAGAAUAUUAAUUAUUAAGAAUUUUUUUAAAUUAUAUAGUUUAAUUAAAAUAUAUUUAAUAAUAAUUAUGUUAAUUUAUAUUUUACAGUAUCAUAUAUUAUGAUUUGAGUAAAUUAAUAUAAGAAUAUUAAUUAUUAAGAAUUUUUUUAAAUUAUAUAGUUUAAUUAAAAUAUAUUUAAUAAUAAUUAUGUUAAUUUAUAUUUUACAGUAUCAUAUAUUAUGAUUUGAGUAAAUUAAUAUAAGAAUAUUAAUUAUUAAGAAUUUUUUUAAAUUAUAUAGUUUAAUUAAAAUAUAUUUAAUAAUAAUUAUGUUAAUUUAUAUUUUACAGUAUCAUAUAUUAUGAUUUGAGUAAAUUAAUAUAAGAAUAUUAAUUAUUAAGAAUUUUAUUAAAUUAUAUAUUUUAAUUAAAAUAUAUUUAAUAAUAAUUAUGUUAAUUUAUAUUUUACAUUAUCAUAUAUUAUGAUUUCAGUAAAUUAAUAUAAGAAUAUUAUCCAAUUAAGAAUUUCAUUAAAUUAUAUAUUUUAAUUAAAUAUAUUUAAUAAUAAUUAUGUUAAUUUAUAUUUUACAGUAUCAUAUAUUAUGAUUUCAGUAAAUUAAUAUAAGAAUAUUAAUUAUUAAGAAUUUUAUUAAAUUAUAUAUUUUAAUUAAAAUAUAUUUAAUAAUAAUUAUGUUUAAAUAUGAUUAAAUUAUUUAUUAUUGAUAAUAAAAAUCUUAUUAUAAUUUAAAUAACAAUAACAAUAAUCAUUUACCAAAACAAAUUUAUGCUAAGGGUAUUCUAGUCAUUUUAGUUUUUUCUAUUAUGCUAUUACACCUCUAUUCCAUUCAACCAAACACAAGAUUACUAUUACGCCUCUAUUCCAUUACAUUCAACCAAACAGUGGAUUAGCUAUUACACCUCUAAUCCAAUACACCUCUAAUCCCAAUACACCUCUAAUCCAAUACGCCUCUAAUCUAAUACAGCGAACCAAACAUGCCCUAAGUUCAUAGUUUUCAGAUCGCGUAACUCUUUAGCGAACUUGUGAAGCAUUAUGAGCUCACAAUCCUAAGUAACGACUCCACCAAAUCGACUGUGCAUUAUUGAGGAUAAAUGUAAUUGGAAUUCCUUUCAUCAAACAUAUUAAAUAGUUGAUAUAUGAUUUGUAUUUACUAGAAUUGAAAAUAUUGUAUUAAUAUGUUGAAAACAUUUUAUUCAAAAACCUAAAUGCUAUGACUAUGAAUUCGAUAAAUGGCAAUGGUUUGAUAGUGAUGACUUUCCAAUGUAUACUUCUAACUCUCUUUCCAGUAAGUAGGAGCGAAGCUAGAACAAAUUUUUAGGGGGCUGUAUGAAAUUUUAAUUUUUUAUAGUUUAUAUCUUUAUAAUUUUUAAAGGAUUAAAUCAAAUUUUUAUAAUUUUAGGGGGUCAAAGUACAAUUUUACUUUUACUAAUUUAAAAUUUAAAAAAAAAUUCAAGAGCCUUAAUAGAAAUCUUCCAUUUUAGAGAGGCCAAGGCCCCUGCCAGCCCCUUGUAUCUGCUACUGCCAGUAAGUGCCUUUGGCUUCACUUUUCUUCUCAUUUAAAAAAUUACAAAUAAAGAAGAAGUUAAAUGCUAUAAGAAACCUACAUAUUAUGAUAAAUUUAUUGUUAGCAAUUACCUAUUUAUAAUUGUGAGGGCACAGUAGUUAAAAGAUUUUAAAUAAAAGAUUUAAAUUUCUAAUAAUGUAAUUAAAAUUAUGAUAAAAUUUAAUUAUUAAAUAUAAUAGUUAUCUAAAUUAUUAUAUUUAAUUUUCUUAUUUAAUUAAAUAAAUACUUUGUAAUAAAAUGGAUAAUAUUUAAAAGUUUUGAAUUGUAAAUUUUACUUAUAAUUAGUUUUUUUUAAAUUUUCAUGUUAAAAUUAAAAUUAAAAUUAAAAAUAUAUAAUAUUAUUGAUCAUAUAUAUAUAAAUAUAUAAGUUAUAUCAAAAAGGAUAAUUAUCUAAUUGAUUUUCUUAUUUAAUUAAACAUUUAUCUAAAUUUAUAAAUUAUCAUUAUCUAAUUAAAAUUUAAAUAAAUCUAAUUAUUAAACAUAAUAAUUAUCCAAUUUUAAUACUUAUGAAAUAAAUUUUUUUAUAACCAAAUGGAUAAUAUAUAAAAAAUUUGGAAUGUAUAUUUUACUUACAUUUUAAUUUUACUUAAACUAUCUAGAUUACAUCCAAAUUUGAUAAUUAUAAGUUAAAAUUAAAAUAGAUAAUAUUUAAAUUAAAUAUUUAUUUUUAGAAAAUUUAAAUGUAUGGUGAUUUUUCUUAAUCAUCUAAUGUAAAUUUUAGAUAAAAAUUAAAUUAACUAAAAAUUAAUUCAAUUUAAGCCAUGAAUAAUUAAAAACUAAAAAAAUAAAUAGAAAAUCUAUAAUAGCACCACUUGUCACAAUUAGCGCAAGUAUAUUAUCAUAUUCAUAUAUACAUAGAUAUCAACUUGCUGUAUCCGUUAACAAUAAAUCCAAAAACACAAAUAGAAUUUGCCACCCAACCCCACUAAACAGAAGGUUGCAUCUGAUUUCUCGUUAGUAGUUAAACAUUAAAUCAUAAGUAUUGCUAUUAUUUUCUUAAGUUAAUAGGUAUAUUCAUAAGUAAAAUUGUAGUUGCAAUUACAAAUAUAUAUAUAUAUAUAUAUUCAAAAAGCUAUAAAAGUAAUCAAUCAUUGUAAAACACUUUUUGGAUUUAUAGUUAAAAUUUAUUCGGAUUUAGACUAUAAUAAAUUUAGAUAUAAAUUUUUUUGUAUAAACAAUUGGUACGGUGAAAGUAAACUAGAGUAAAUGUCUCAUAAUUAAAAUGAUCUAUUGAAUGUGUGUAUUCGGUCAUAUGUGAAGUUAACUUGAAUGUGCAUAUUCGGCUAUAUGUGAUGUUCUAUUGAAUUUGAACUAUAGGUUACAUAUGAUGUUUUAUUUAACUUUUAUAUAUUCGGCCAUAUGUGAGUCCAUUAAGAAUUUUGUGAAUUCGGCCAUACAUGUAAGUGCUAAUGUGAUAACAUAUUUGUUCUUGUAUAAUCAGCUAUAUAGGAAAUAUAUAUAUGGUGAUAUAUAUUCGAUUUUAAACAUUCGGCUAAGGUAUCUUAAUGUGUUAAUGUGUAAUAUUAUUGAUAUAAUUCGGUUAGUUGAAUGUUUUGAUUAUUCAUUGAGUUGUUUAUUAUGCUUAAAGCUUACUAAGCUAAGUUAGCUUACUCUGUGUGUUUGUUUAUUUUGUUUUAUAGAUUUUAGUUGUAAGUCACGAGCUCGGGGAUCAUUAUCGAAGUCAUCCACACUAACGUCAACUUUCGGUACUAUUAAAAGUUUAUUUUCGAACUUAUAUCAUGUAUAGGCUAAUAUGUAUUUUGUUCAACUUCGAAUAUGUAUAUAUAUAUUGAGCCAUGUGAAUAUGGCUUAUCUUUAGAGUUUGGAUAUGGUUAUGUUUGGCAAUGGUUUAUCACAUUUUGAUUAUAUGUAAAUGUGAAUGGUAUUAUAUGUGCUGGUAAUAGCUUGAAAUGAUAAGUGGAAUUGGUUGUGGUUGGUCGCUUGGUUUUGAUAUGUUUAAAUAUAAAUAAAUAUGGUUUGAUGAUUUGAUUUUGAUGUACGUUUAUUCAUUUAUAAACGUGAGCUCAGGUGUUAGCAUGUUUAAUGUAUACUAGAAAUACAUGAUAUGAGGCAUGCCUAUAUUCGAAUAUGCAAAGAUUAGUUUAGUUCGGUUUGCAUGGAAAAAAAAUGUAUAAGUACUAUAAUUAGUUAUGAGUUUAUUAAUGGUGAAUUAUUGAGAUUUUAUUGUUUAAUAAUGUUUGUAAGUGAGACAUUGAUAAAUGACCAUUUGAAUAGUGAUUUUAUGCAAUAGUACACCAUGAGCAUUAUAUGCAAUUUUGCAAAAUUGAUAAUUAUGUGUACGUAUAUACAUGUACUUUGAUUGUUAAUUCGAAUGAUGGUUUGGGUAUAUAAUGAAAGUAUAUGCGUAUGUUUAUAUUUGUUAAUGAAAAUGUGAUUAUUUAAAAGGUAUAGAUUCGGUUAAAUUUGGAGGUAUGAUUCGUGAAUGCAAUAUGAUAAAUAAAGCAUGUUUAAUAUUUAAUUAGCCAUGUGCUUUAUAUAUAUUUAUGAGUAUGAAUUGUAUGAAUAUGUGAAUGUUUGUAAUUUUAUUUUUGCUCAGUAAUGCCUUGUAACCCUAAUUCGGCGACGGGUAUGGGUUAGGGGUGUUACACACCACACAGUCGUGUCUUACACACGGCCAUGCUACGCUAUUCACAUGACCGUGUCUCGUACACGGCCAUCCAUACGAGCGUAUAGGUACUUCAUUGCUAUCUGUUUGGCAUUUCACGCUUUCGAUAUUAUGCUUUGUAACCAUAUCAGUUUUGCAUUUCUACAACCAAGACAAUUAUAGGAAUAGUGGGCUUCACCUCAACCAAUGGCUUGAUACAUAUGCUGACAUAUACUAGAAGAUGAUGCUUUAUAAACCUCAUACAUAAGUUUGAGAUCAUAAUCAUAGGGAAAAAAUGGCCUCACCAGUAUAAUCAACAUAUUUUUUUUCUCCAUCAAAGUAAUAUCCUUAACCUCAUUGUCCAAAACCUAUGUUAGAGAUUGGGGUAAGAAGAUUUUUGAGGGGGAGUGACUAUGACAAUGGAGAAAAGCUUAAACGUGACUUCUGGCGAUAGCGAUCGUUGUCGCAUUGACUCGUGUUUUAACUUUUUCUGUACCGUCACUAUCACUUACCCCCUGAAAGUUUUUUUACUCUCACAUCUGACAAAAGUUUUGGACAAUGAGGUUAAGGAGACUACUUUGAUGGAGAAAAAGAAUAAGUUGGUUAUACUAGUGAGCCCCUUUUUCCCCUAUGAUUAUGAUCUUAAACUUAUGUAUGGGGUUUAAAAAGCAUCAUUUUCUGAUAGCAUAAAACUUGAACUGUGACCGCAUAACUACCAUCAACUAGGGGUUCAAGUUAUGUUAGAACCCAUGAUCGCAUAACUACCGCCAACUAGGAUCCCUAGUUAUACUUGAACUCGUGACUGUAUAACCACCGUGAACUGGGAGCCCGAGUUGCAAUGUGACAUCUUCUGAGGUGAUGGUGCACUCCCCACACUGGAAAUGAAAUGUGUGGGGCUUGAAGUCUCACAACAUCAUUGUAAACUCAAACAUACCUAAAAACUAUCAUAAUUUCUUCGUAAAACACAAACACAAUCAAUUCUUUCUCCCCAAAUUUUCAACACCCAACAAAAAAAACAACUUUUUGAAAGAACGAAACUUAAAUUUGAAAAAAAAAGACCUAAUUUGCUAAUUAACUUUUUAAAAUGACAUUUUUGCAAUUGUUUUAUUGUAUAUUUAUAUGAUCUUUUCAAAAUAUAAACAUAUUAAAAAAAUUACGAUAUCCCCCAAGUUAAAUUUUAAUAUUUAAAUUAAAAAUAAAUAUUAUUACAGACUUCAAAUAUGAAAAUAUUUGAAAAUAAAAAUUUUAGGAUUAAUCAACAAAGAGUUUUAAUUAUAAAAUUUAUAUCAAAGAGGAAUAAUUUAAAAGUAUUAAAAAUUUGAUAAUACAAACAUACCAUCAAAUUUUUGAAUAAUAAUUAGUGACAAUAGUUAUACUUAGCAUAUAAUUUUGCAAUAAAUAAGAAUACAAAAAUAGAAGAAUUUAUUUUUAAAAUAUUUUGAAUUUAUUACUACUUUACAUUUAUAUUUUAAAAAAAAAGACAUAUAUAGGUUGUUGGUUUAUCAAUUUAAUUAACUCACCCAGAUCCCUCUUUUUCUAUAGACAGACUUUCUAUAUUGUUUGUCUAAUAUAUACCAACACUCGGUCUAGAACUACCAGUUUUGCCUUUUCCUUUAGCUUUUUCGUGCUCACUAUCGAUCUUACCGCUUUCUUAUUCGACCUAUCAAAUUUCUUAAGCAUUUGAACCGACACACCCAACCAUAACACUAAGUUCAUAGUUUUCAGAUCGCGUAACUCUUUAGCGAACUUGUGAAGCAUUAUGAGCUCACAAUCCUAAGUAACGACUCCACCAAAUCGACUGUGCAUUAUUGAGGAUAAAUGUAAUUGGAAUUCCUUUCAUCAAACAUAUUAAAUAGUUUAUAUAUGAUUUGUAUUUACUAGAAUUGAAAAUAUUGUAUUAAUAUGUUGAAAACAUUUUAUUCAAAAACCUAAAUGCUAUGACUAUGAAUUCGAUAAAUGGCAAUGGUUUGAUAGUGAUGACUUUCCAAUGUAUACUUCUAACUCUCUUUCCAGUAAGUAGGAGCGAAGCUAGAACAAAUUUUUAGGGGGCUGUAUGAAAUUUUAAUUUUUUAUAGUUUAUAUCUUUAUAAUUUUUAAAGGAUUAAAUCAAAUUUUUAUAAUUUUAGGGGGUCAAAGUACAAUUUUACUUUUACUAAUUUAAAAUUUAAAAAAAAAAAUUCAAGAGCCUUAAUAGAAAUCUUCCAUUUUAGAGAGGCCAAGGCUCCUACCAGCCCCUUGUAUCCGCUACUGCCAGUAAGUGCCUUUGGCUUCACUUUUCUUCUCAUUUAAAAAAUUACAAAUAAAGAAGAAGUUAAAUGCUAUAAGAAACCUACAUAUUAUGAUAAAUUUAUUGUUAGCAAUUACCUAUUUAUAAUUGUGAGGGCACAGUAGUUAAAAGAUUUUAAAUAAAAGAUUUAAAUUUCUAAUAAUGUAAUUAAAAUUAUGAUAAAAUUUAAUUAUUAAAUAUAAUAGUUAUCUAAAUUAUUAUAUUUAAUUUUCUUAUUUAAUUAAAUAAAUACUUUGUAAUAAAAUGGAUAAUAUUUAAAAGUUUUGAAUUGUAAAUUUUACUUAUAAUUAGUUUUUUUUAAAUUUUCAUGUUAAAAUUAAAAUUAAAAUUAAAAAUAUAUAAUAUUAUUGAUCAUAUAUAUAUAAAUAUAUAAGUUAUAUCAAAAAGGAUAAUUAUCUAAUUGAUUUUCUUAUUUAAUUAAACAUUUAUCUAAAUUUAUAAAUUAUCAUUAUCUAAUUAAAAUUUAAAUAAAUCUAAUUAUUAAACAUAAUAAUUAUCCAAUUUUAAUACUUAUGAAAUAAAUUUUUUUAUAACCAAAUGGAUAAUAUAUAAAAAAUUUGGAAUGUAUAUUUUACUUACAUUUUAAUUUUACUUAAACUAUCUAGAUUACAUCCAAAUUUGAUAAUUAUAAGUUAAAAUUAAAAUAGAUAAUAUUUAAAUUAAAUAUUUAUUUUUAGAAAAUUUAAAUGUAUGGUGAUUUUUCUUAAUCAUCUAAUGUAAAUUUUAGAUAAAAAUUAAAUUAACUAAAAAUUAAUUCAAUUUAAGCCAUGAAUAAUUAAAAACUAAAAAAAUAAAUAGAAAAUCUAUAAUAGCACCACUUGUCACAAUUAGCGCAAGUAUAUUAUCAUAUUCAUAUAUACAUAGAUAUCAACUUGCUGUAUCCGUUAACAAUAAAUCCAAAAACACAAAUAGAAUUUGCCACCCAACCCCACUAAACAGAAGGUUGCAUCUGAUUUCUCGUUAGUAGUUAAACAUUAAAUCAUAAGUAUUGCUAUUAUUUUCUUAAGUUAAUAGGUAUAUUCAUAAGUAAAAUUGUAGUUGCAAUUACAAAUAUAUAUAUAUAUAUAUAUUCAAAAAGCUAUAAAAGUAAUCAAUCAUUGUAAAACACUUUUUGGAUUUAUAGUUAAAAUUUAUUCGGAUUUAGACUAUAAUAAAUUUAGAUAUAAAUUUUUUUUUAUAAACAAUUGGUACGGUGAAAGUAAACUAGAGUAAAUGUCUCAUAAUUAAAAUGAUCUAUUGAAUGUGUGUAUUCGGUCAUAUGUGAAGUUAACUUGAAUGUGCAUAUUCGGCUAUAUGUGAUGUUCUAUUGAAUUUGAACUAUAGGUUACAUAUGAUGUUUUAUUUAACUUUUAUAUAUUCGGCCAUAUGUGAGUCCAUUAAGAAUUUUGUGAAUUCGGCCAUACAUGUAAGUGCUAAUGUGAUAACAUAUUUGUUCUUGUAUAAUCAGCUAUAUAGGAAAUAUAUAUAUGGUGAUAUAUAUUCGAUUUUAAACAUUCGGCUAAGGUAUCUUAAUGUGUUAAUGUGUAAUAUUAUUGAUAUAAUUCGGUUAGUUGAAUGUUUUGAUUAUUCAUUGAGUUGUUUAUUAUGCUUAAAGCUUACUAAGCUAAGUUAGCUUACUCUGUGUGUUUGUUUAUUUUGUUUUAUAGAUUUUAGUUGUAAGUCACGAGCUCGGGGAUCAUUAUCGAAGUCAUCCACACUAACGUCAACUUUCGGUACUAUUAAAAGUUUAUUUUCGAACUUAUAUCAUGUAUAGGCUAAUAUGUAUUUUGUUCAACUUCGAAUAUGUAUAUAUAUAUUGAGCCAUGUGAAUAUGGCUUAUCUUUAGAGUUUGGAUAUGGUUAUGUUUGGCAAUGGUUUAUCACAUUUUGAUUAUAUGUAAAUGUGAAUGGUAUUAUAUGUGCUGGUAAUAGCUUGAAAUGAUAAGUGGAAUUGGUUGUGGUUGGUCGCUUGGUUUUGAUAUGUUUAAAUAUAAAUAAAUAUGGUUUGAUGAUUUGAUUUUGAUGUACGUUUAUUCAUUUAUAAACGUGAGCUCAGGUGUUAGCAUGUUUAAUGUAUACUAGAAAUACAUGAUAUGAGGCAUGCCUAUAUUCGAAUAUGCAAAGAUUAGUUUAGUUCGGUUUGCAUGGAAAAAAAAUGUAUAAGUACUAUAAUUAGUUAUGAGUUUAUUAAUGGUGAAUUAUUGAGAUUUUAUUGUUUAAUAAUGUUUGUAAGUGAGACAUUGAUAAAUGACCAUUUGAAUAGUGAUUUUAUGCAAUAGUACACCAUGAGCAUUAUAUGCAAUUUUGCAAAAUUGAUAAUUAUGUGUACGUAUAUACAUGUACUUUGAUUGUUAAUUCGAAUGAUGGUUUGGGUAUAUAAUGAAAGUAUAUGCGUAUGUUUAUAUUUGUUAAUGAAAAUGUGAUUAUUUAAAAGGUAUAGAUUCGGUUAAAUUUGGAGGUAUGAUUCGUGAAUGCAAUAUGAUAAAUAAAGCAUGUUUAAUAUUUAAUUAGCCAUGUGCUUUAUAUAUAUUUAUGAGUAUGAAUUGUAUGAAUAUGUGAAUGUUUGUAAUUUUAUUUUUGCUCAGUAAUGCCUUGUAACCCUAAUUCGGCGACGGGUAUGGGUUAGGGGUGUUACACACCACACAGUCGUGUCUUACACACGGCCAUGCUACGCUAUUCACAUGACCGUGUCUCGUACACGGCCAUCCAUACGAGCGUAUAGGUACUUCAUUGCUAUCUGUUUGGCAUUUCACGCUUUCGAUAUUAUGCUUUGUAACCAUAUCAGUUUUGCAUUUCUACAACCAAGACAAUUAUAGGAAUAGUGGGCUUCACCUCAACCAAUGGCUUGAUACAUAUGCUGACAUAUACUAGAAGAUGAUGCUUUAUAAACCUCAUACAUGAGUUUGAGAUCAUAAUCAUAGGGAAAAAAUGGCCUCACCAGUAUAAUCAACAUAUUUUUUUUCUCCAUCAAAGUAAUAUCCUUAACCUCAUUGUCCAAAACCUAUGUUAGAGAUUGGGGUAAGAAGAUUUUUGAAGGGGAGUGACUAUGACAAUGGAGAAAAGCUUAAACGUGACUUCUGGCGAUAGCGAUCAUUGUCGCAUUGACUCGUGUUUUAACUUUUUCUGUACCGUCACUAUCACUUACCCCCUGAAAGUUUUUUUACUCUCACAUCUGACAAAAGUUUUGGACAAUGAGGUUAAGGAGACUACUUUGAUGGAGAAAAAGAAUAAGUUGGUUAUACUAGUGAGCCCCUUUUUCCCCUAUGAUUAUGAUCUUAAACUUAUGUAUGGGGUUUAUAAAGCAUCAUUUUCUGAUAGCAUAAAACUUGAACUGUGACCGCAUAACUACCAUCAACUAGGGGUUCAAGUUAUGUUAGAACCCAUGAUCGCAUAACUACCGCCAACUAGGAUCCCUAGUUAUACUUGAACUCGUGACUGUAUAACCACCGUGAACUGGGAGCCCGAGUUGCAAUGUGACAUCUUCUGAGGUGAUGGUGCACUCCCCACACUGGAAAUGAAAUGUGUGGGGCUUGAAGUCUCACAACAUCAUUGUAAACUCAAACAUACCUGAAAACUAUCAUAAUUUCUUCGUAAAACACAAACACAAUCAAUUCUUUCUCCCCAAAUUUUCAACACCCAACAAAAAAAACAACUUUUUGAAAGAACGAAACUUAAAUUUGAAAAAAAAAAGACCUAAUUUGCUAAUUAACUUUUUAAAAUGACAUUUUUGCAAUUGUUUUAUUGUAUAUUUAUAUGAUCUUUUCAAAAUAUAAACAUAUUAAAAAAAUUACGAUAUCCCCCAAGUUAAAUUUUAAUAUUUAAAUUAAAAAUAAAUAUUAUUACAGACUUCAAAUAUGAAAAUAUUUGAAAAUAAAAAUUUUAGGAUUAAUCAACAAAGAGUUUUAAUUAUAAAAUUUAUAUCAAAGAGGAAUAAUUUAAAAGUAUUAAAAAUUUGAUAAUACAAACAUACCAUCAAAUUUUUGAAUAAUAAUUAGUGACAAUAGUUAUACUUAGCAUAUAAUUUUGCAAUAAAUAAGAAUACAAAAAUAGAAGAAUUUAUUUUUAAAAUAUUUUGAAUUUAUUACUACUUUACAUUUAUAUUUAAAAAAAAAAGACAUAUAUAGGUUGUUGGUUUAUCAAUUUAAUUAACUCACCCAGAUCCCUCUUUUUCUAUAGACAGACUUUCUAUAUUGUUUGUCUAAUAUAUACCAACACUCGGUCUAGAACUACCAGUUUUGCCUUUUCCUUUAGCUUUUUCGUGCUCACUAUCGAUCUUACCGCUUUCUUAUUCGACCUAUCAAAUUUCUUAAGCAUUUGAACCGACACACCCAACCAUAACACUAAGUUCAUAGUUUUCAGAUCGCGUAACUCUUUAGCGAACUUGUGAAGCAUUAUGAGCUCACAAUCCUAAGUAACGACUCCACCAAAUCGACUGUGCAUUAUUGAGGAUAAAUGUAAUUGGAAUUCCUUUCAUCAAACAUAUUAAAUAGUUUAUAUAUGAUUUGUAUUUACUAGAAUUGAAAAUAUUGUAUUAAUAUGUUGAAAACAUUUUAUUCAAAAACCUAAAUGCUAUGACUAUGAAUUCGAUAAAUGGCAAUGGUUUGAUAGUGAUGACUUUCCAAUGUAUACUUCUAACUCUCUUUCCAGUAAGUAGGAGCGAAGCUAGAACAAAUUUUUAGGGGGCUGUAUGAAAUUUUAAUUUUUUAUAGUUUAUAUCUUUAUAAUUUUUAAAGGAUUAAAUCAAAUUUUUAUAAUUUUAGGGGGUCAAAGUACAAUUUUACUUUUACUAAUUUAAAAUUUAAAAAAAAAAAUUCAAGAGCCUUAAUAGAAAUCUUCCAUUUUAGAGAGGCCAAGGCUCCUACCAGCCCCUUGUAUCCGCUACUGCCAGUAAGUGCCUUUGGCUUCACUUUUCUUCUCAUUUAAAAAAUUACAAAUAAAGAAGAAGUUAAAUGCUAUAAGAAACCUACAUAUUAUGAUAAAUUUAUUGUUAGCAAUUACCUAUUUAUAAUUGUGAGGGCACAGUAGUUAAAAGAUUUUAAAUAAAAGAUUUAAAUUUCUAAUAAUGUAAUUAAAAUUAUGAUAAAAUUUAAUUAUUAAAUAUAAUAGUUAUCUAAAUUAUUAUAUUUAAUUUUCUUAUUUAAUUAAAUAAAUACUUUGUAAUAAAAUGGAUAAUAUUUAAAAGUUUUGAAUUGUAAAUUUUACUUAUAAUUAGUUUUUUUUAAAUUUUCAUGUUAAAAUUAAAAUUAAAAUUAAAAAUAUAUAAUAUUAUUGAUCAUAUAUAUAUAAAUAUAUAAGUUAUAUCAAAAAGGAUAAUUAUCUAAUUGAUUUUCUUAUUUAAUUAAACAUUUAUCUAAAUUUAUAAAUUAUCAUUAUCUAAUUAAAAUUUAAAUAAAUCUAAUUAUUAAACAUAAUAAUUAUCCAAUUUUAAUACUUAUGAAAUAAAUUUUUUUAUAACCAAAUGGAUAAUAUAUAAAAAAUUUGGAAUGUAUAUUUUACUUACAUUUUAAUUUUACUUAAACUAUCUAGAUUACAUCCAAAUUUGAUAAUUAUAAGUUAAAAUUAAAAUAGAUAAUAUUUAAAUUAAAUAUUUAUUUUUAGAAAAUUUAAAUGUAUGGUGAUUUUUCUUAAUCAUCUAAUGUAAAUUUUAGAUAAAAAUUAAAUUAACUAAAAAUUAAUUCAAUUUAAGCCAUGAAUAAUUAAAAACUAAAAAAAUAAAUAGAAAAUCUAUAAUAGCACCACUUGUCACAAUUAGCGCAAGUAUAUUAUCAUAUUCAUAUAUACAUAGAUAUCAACUUGCUGUAUCCGUUAACAAUAAAUCCAAAAACACAAAUAGAAUUUGCCACCCAACCCCACUAAACAGAAGGUUGCAUCUGAUUUCUCGUUAGUAGUUAAACAUUAAAUCAUAAGUAUUGCUAUUAUUUUCUUAAGUUAAUAGGUAUAUUCAUAAGUAAAAUUGUAGUUGCAAUUACAAAUAUAUAUAUAUAUAUUCAAAAAGCUAUAAAAGUAAUCAAUCAUUGUAAAACACUUUUUGGAUUUAUAGUUAAAAUUUAUUCGGAUUUAGACUAUAAUAAAUUUAGAUAUAAAUUUUUUUUUAUAAACAAUUGGUACGGUGAAAGUAAACUAGAGUAAAUGUCUCAUAAUUAAAAUGAUCUACCCACAACCCCAUUAACAAAAGCAUCAACACCAACCCUGCAAAUUCCUCCACUCCGAUGAAUGGUAAUGAUGCCACAAACACUAAACUUUCUUCAACCCAAUCAAAACACUGACUCGCCCAACCAUGACUACCAUAGAAUCUUGGACACAGCUCCUGAAUAUCCUUAAUACUCCUUUAGUUAAUCCUGCCACUGUGGUCUUGCCUUCAAUUCUGAACCCAUCAUCCUCCCCUGCCACCCCACAAGAUCCUAGAGAUGAUCUCUUAAAACAAAUCCUCUCUUGUUUAGCCUCGUAAUCUCAAUAAACUAUCGUGGCUAUUCAUCCAGGUCAGACUUCCCAACAACAACAUCUACUGGAUUCCAACACCACGUUGUUGAGAUGCUAGAAAAGAUGUGUCUCAUGGAGGAACAACUCCUGGCUCAAUAACGUCAAUUCUAGGAACAAUAGAAACUAGGGGUGAGCGUUCGAUCAAAUCGAGUGAAAAAAUUUCAAGUUAAUCGAGUUGAUGAAUCCUAUUUUAUCAUCCUAACUCGAUUUGAAAAUUUUUUUAAUCAAGUCGAAUGAAAUGAAAUUUGAAUCGAGUCGAAUCGAACCGAGUUAAAUUAAAAAAUUAAACAUGUCAAAAUAAAAUAUUGUUACAUUAUAGUUCCACGUUAGAGCACAUAAAUUUGAAAUAAUUUAUAUUUGAAAAAAAUUCAAAGUAAAAUAAUAAAAAAUAAUUUAGUAUAAUAAACUUGAAUCAUUAAUUAACUUAUUUAGACCCCCAAAAUUAUUAUUUAAAAAAAAUUUAAAUUUUAAAAUUUUUUUUAUAUAUUUUUAGAUUUUUUAUAAAUUUUUUAAAAAAUAUAUAAAUUUUAGAAUUUUUUAUAAAUAUUUUGAAUUUUUUAAAAUCAUUUUGAAUUACUUUAUAAUUUUUAUUGAGAGACACCAAUUUGCUUAUUUUCAAAUUUGAUAGGGACCAAAAGGGUAUUUAUACCAAUAUCUUAUUCGAAUUAUUUGAGUUAUUCGAAUUAUAAAAUUCAACUCGAUUCGAACUCGAAACUCGAAUUACAUAUUCGAGUUUACUCGAAUAAUUCAAAUAACUCGAUUUUAUUUUUUCGAAUCAAAUUGAGUUUUGCUCACCCCUAACAAGAACGUCAGUGUCUGCUAGAUCAACAAAAUGCCUACAAUGAGCAACUAAUCGCGAAGUUGCACGUGGCAAAAGAUGUUAUCAAAAAGGGUGAAUUACCCCUCCAGUAGAACCAAAAGAUAUAACACAAUCAAUUGUUUGUAAGGAUAAUAAAAGACGUAAUGAUGAUGAGAUUUUACAAGAUCCUCAACCCGGUCGAUAACCCUAAAACAAAACAUUCUUGUUGAGUAAUAAAUUGCACCGUUUCGAGUAGAAUUUUUACAAGAGGUUAAAGGCUUUAAAUCUGAUGAAGUUUCUUGGGGCUAUGCUAACGAACUUUUAGCCCCUUCCUUGUUGACACAUAACUUGUCUACCUCUUUCAAGUUUCCUAAGUUAACUCGCACUAGUAUUGGAGACCCGGAAGAUAACCUAGUCCACCACAACAAGCACAUGAACAUUCUUGGAGCCUCAGAUGCUAUGAAAUGUAGAGCUUUCUCUAUGACCCUUUCUAGCAUAUCCUAACAAAAGUACCUAUAGAUUCCUCCAAGAUCUAUAAAUAAUUUUAAUCAAUUGGUUGGGUCAUUCAUGAGCAGAUUCUUCGCCAACAAAACCUCACAAUAAUCCUAGCUUACCUCAUGUCCAUUCGAAAAAAAGAAAAUGAACCCUUCUGUAAUUUCAUGACAAGAUUUAAUGCUACAAUUAUGAUAACCAAGGGUGUUUAUGAUGCUCUAACCAUCCAAGCUUUCUUGGUAAGUACCACUUACAAAUUCCUCCAAUUUCACCUCAUUGAUAACCUUAUAGAAAAGUUAUCUCAGCUUAAUGAAAUGGCCCAUCGCUUCACAGAAGGUAAUAAGAUGGGAAUUCAUCAAGCUAAGGAAACAACCAAAGCAACCCAAACUUAACCCUUUAUUAAAUAUUUCUCCCCUCCACAUCAUCAUCCAACAAUAACUUAUGAACAUCAACCACGGCAGUGAACUUUCCCUCUAGUUGGUGAAACAUGGUUCUAGCGGUAUAACUCACUAUAACAAAGGGAUAGGCAGAUGGUUAAUACAUUAGGUCCAACACGUCAUCCAGGACCCGUGACAGACAACUGCCCUAACCAACAUCAGCGAGAACGAGUCCCAUAUAACCAGUAUCGCACAUACCAUCAACUUAAUUGCUCUCUUGCUACCAUAUUUGAGCAAAUCAAGUAUCAAUGAAUUCUACCAAAGCCACCAACCAUGCCUUUCAACCCUCAUCAAGAUGAUUUGUCUUUUCACUGUCAUUACCACAAUGUGGGAGGUCAUACUACGAAUCGAAAUAUUCAGCUCAAGGAUGCAAUAGAAGAUAUCAUCCAAAAAGGAUAUAUACAAUAAUAUGUUAUAGAGAUGUUUAUCCAUUGAAUAAGACAAAUGACCAAAAAGAAAAACCUUUUAAUAAUCGAUUUAAGGAUAAAAGGAAAACAACCUAUACAUAGAAUUGUUGAUGUUUUCAUCAGAGUGAAUAAAGUAUGGGCUAGUUCAAACACCAAGUGAAAAGCCUACCAGCUUAAUAUCUUAUUUAUUUCAACAUCAGUCAAGAAGCCUAGAUCAUUCUUUUAGUGUUUGAGGUUUUUAGAAUUAAACGAAUGGGAAAUCCUAGACUUGGAAGGGAAUGAUCCUCUUAUUAUUUUUGCCACCAUUUCAUUCUUCCAGGUAAAUAGAAUCCUCAUGGACACGAGGAGCUUUAUAGACAUUUUAGCAACUAAAACAUCCAUAAAAUGGGUCUCAAAUAUGUGACAAGAACAAAAUUCGGCUCAAUAUAUGGUUUUUCUAAUCAGCCAAUCAUAAUUAAGGGUUUUAUUACCCUUUCGGUGGUAUUAGGCAAUGUAGAACACACAAUCACGAAGAUGGUAGAUUUCUUAAUAGUAGACCAUUCGCCAGCAUAAAUAUUUUUGGCAGGCCAAUAAUGAGUUUUAUUAUUACCUUUUGUUAGUCUCCCCCUAUGCGUUUGGGAGCAAAGUUUUAUUAUUACUUCCCUAAGCCUCCCUCAAUACAUUUGGGAGUAAGGUUUUGUUAUUACCUUCCGUAAGCUUCCCCCUACGCAUCUAGGAGAAAGGUUUUAUUAUUACCUUCGUAAGCCUCCUCUCACACGUUUGGGAGAAGGGUUUUAUUAAUACCUUCUGUAAGCCUCCCAUCGUACAUCUGGAAGCAAAGUUUUAUUAUUACCUUUUGUACGUGUAACAACCCGUUUUUUGUGAUACCAGAAAUGGUGGGUUUGGAAUCCUAUUUUUCGAUGAUUGAGUCUAAAGAUAUUAUUUAUUAAUAUUUACGAGUCUAUAAAAAAUUUAUAUUGAAUUCUAGUCUAAAAAUUUUAGUGAUUAGUUGGUUAAUUAAUAUACAAAGAUUAAAUUAUAAAAAACUACAAAAGUUAGUUACUAUUAAUUUAUCUGCUGAAUCAGUAUAAUAGCAUAAUGGAGUCGUUUUAAAUGGAAAUUACGUCGUAGUUGUUUGUAGUGGACAGUUAAGUGCUUUUGUUUUAAUAAAAUUUUGUUAAAAUGUACUAAAAAUAACAAGUUAAAAGUUAAUAAAAUAUAAACAAAAAGUUGUCAUCUUUGCCAUUUUUCUUUCCCACCAUUUCUUUACCAUUGUUAAGAGAAAGAAAAGAUUCAAACCCUUCUAAACAAUUGGCCCUUGCAUAUCAAGAAAUGAAUCAACCAGUAGAUAACCGAGGAAAAAAGAAAAUAAUAGAUUAGUCCUUGGCAUUUCUUUUAUUGUUGUUAUCACCUGGUAAGUUCAUACAAUAUAGUUAUAUGUAUUUUUGUAAUGUUUAUUGUAACACCCCUAAUCCCUCUUCAUCGUCAGAUUAGGUUUUCGACGUUACUAACCAAUCACGACAUUUAUUAACAUAAUAAUCCACAGUGUAAGCUAACUAUUAACAACAAUAUAUUAUACAGUGGAAGAUCAUGCCAAUAAAAUAUUUUCAUAAUAAUGUUUUAUACAAUUGAAUAAGGAAUCAUGCUAUGCAAAGCUAAACUUGGUCUUCCACUGUCUACACUCUUAAUACUAUUUUUCCCCUAUUGAAUGCUAAAAGUUGGAUACAUAACAAAACUAUUCCAAUGAUUUGCAUCAUAGUAUUGGUCUAUACUCUGUCUAUUUACUUUUGGUAAUAUUAGUAGAAUGACCUACUUCACCUAAUUUAGGUUUGCUAUUUCAUUCCAAAUUAGAGUAAAAAUACUUUUACAGUCCUUAAUACAAGUUUGCAGGACCCUAAAAAUAGUCUAAAAACAAACAGGGGCUAAUUUAAAAUAAUUUUGGAAGUUUAAGGUGAAUUUCAAAAAUACCUAAAAACAGAGGUCACAUGGUCUUGUGGAACGCCCCAGAACGCGUGACUUUCAAAUUUGGGACAUAUGGCCGUGUCCCAACCCAUGUCUCUGUUUGUGUAACUCAUUGACUUGAGACACAGAGCCGUGUCCCAACCCGUAUGAGAACUACACUUAUACUGUUUUACAACACGUUCAGGGCAUACGCCCGUGUGUGACACACGGUCGUAUGACAGACCGUGUGUACCUAAAUGUACCUUAAAACUCAAGUUUAACAAUUCAUACUUACUUGCGCACUAAGCAACUCAAUUACCAACCAUUUGACCUAUUCAAAACACAAUUAACAUGUUCAAAAUAGGCCAAAUCAAUCAUCUAAUAUGCCUAACCAAUGUACCCUCAUUGGUACCAUAUUCUAUAUCAUCAAACAAACUAACAAAGCUUCAACCAUUCAAAGCUUUCGUUCAUACCAAAAUUUUCCAUAAUUGGACUAACAUUUAGCUACUUAAGCUACUAAACUUUAAAUCUAACACAUACCAAACCAUUAAGCUAAGCUAUUAUACCAACAUAGCCUCAACCACUACCAUAUAUACACAUAAUCAUCCUUGCACUAGAAAACCAAAACAUUAUCACAUUAUAAACAACCUCAAACAAAGACUUUUUAGGUACAUGCCAGUACAAUUUAAACAUCACCACACUUGAGCUCGGGAUUUGUUGUUGGAUGCUGUGUCGAUGAUAAGCUGAAAGUACCUAACCUGCGCACAAAAAACAAAACCGCACGCUGAGUAUAACUUAGUGGUAUUUCUAUAAUUUGAACAUAAAAGUAAAAUACAAUACAAUUACAUGCUCAAGUUAUAAUAAAUGAUAUUAUGCAAUAUUGUCUCAAUCAUAGUUCAAUUCAUUUCAUAUUUAAUUAAACAUCAUUCCUUAAAUACAUAUCCAUUGACUACUUUAGUUCCUAAUUCAUAUUUCAUUCUAUAUUUCACUUCAUUCUAUCACACUUGCUAUUCAAUAGCAUUGCCAUUUUCAAAUCAUUACCAUCUUAAGGCAUUAUCUCGAGUUUACUGUUUACUUCCUUUAUUAACGUGACUUGGAUUUAGACACAUGGAUUCCAACCAUCUCAUUUUCAUAUAAAAUCCAAUAUCCCAUACAAUAUACAAUAUACAAUAUUUUAUUUUAUAACUAUGAAAUUUAAUACAUUGUCACUAAUAAUCAUUCAAUUCAAAUUCACAUAUCACGAACUUGUUUCAAAGGAAUAAUUAUAUAUAUACUUACUUAUAAUGUAAUGUAUAAAAGUAACGUUUUUAAAUAGUUUAGAUUAUAAAAAUACAAAUUGUAUAUCCCGAGCUACUCGACGUCGACCUUGGCUUUCCACUUCUUACUUGAGGAUUUCGGAACAACGUUUGCAAAUUAGAUUUGAACCCUUAGGUCCCUUAGCCGUGUGUUCUUUCUCUUCUUUUCUUUCUUUCUUUUCUUUCCUUUUUAAUUUGCAUGCCCUCUUCUCUCAAUUUCCACUUUCGUUUUUAUUUUAUUAAUUUGUUUUCAUUUUAUUUAUUAUUGUCGAAACUAUUUUUAUAUUUGAAAAAAAGGGGAAUCGACUUUUAAAACAAAGUGUAGAGUCGCCACCAAUCUUUUUGUGUAGGUGUGAUUGGAUCACCUAAUAAAAUAUUUUGUUUCAUUUAAAUCAAUUUUGGUCCACGUAAAUUUAAAAAUGGGUUUAGGAGCCGGUUACGUAUGAGGAAGUGUUUGCACCCUCACUACGCCCAAAAACUGGUACUAGAUUGAUUAAGUGAUGUCCUCAUGUUUAGGGUUUUUUAAAAAAAAUUGAAAUAUGCUUCCUUUUAAAACAUUUGAGUGGUUCAAGUUGGUCCUCAAAACUCUCUCGUUUCAAAGGUAUACAGCAUCACAUCCAGCACGAUAGGACAUGAUCCUUUAUACCUUUGAAAACACGAUUGAUUUUUGACUUCCAAAAGCUCUUAGGUUGAAAAUUACAAAAAGGAUGUUCAAUUAUUUAGUCCAACGAAGAAUCGAAACCCAGCACGGUAGGGCACGAUUCUUUGAAUUUCCAAAUAUUGGACAUUGCCUUAUUUGAAAAUUUUUAAAUAAACCAUUGUAAACUAGCUCAAAACGUCUUAAUUUUAUUUGAAAUAAAAUGGAAUAAUUGAUUUUAAAGAGUUGAAAAUCAUGAAGCAACAUUUUGUUAACCAAAAGAAAAAUAAAAAUCAUGGGAUAAUAUACAUGCAUAAAAUACAAUACUUGGCGAACGAAAAUAACAUAACCUUACUUAACCAAUUAACCAAACAAACAAUUAACUCAAAAUAUAACCAAAUUCACAAGCAUGGGUGAACAACAACUGAUUUAACAAUACAUAAAAACGAGUAAAUGUGGUGUAGCAAAUAUACAUGAAAUAAUAUAAAGACAAUUAACACAUGAGAUACCAAACAAUAUAAAACCAAUACGAUACAAAAAUAAUUUCUCAAAAUGAUGGAUUAAUGAGCAAAUAACAUAUGCUAGAACUUGAAAUAAUUUAUAAGAAAAAUAAAGAACAUAUAUAUAAUUUUUUUUUUAAAAAAUUGAUGUUGCAAAAAGAAGACAUUUAAAUCAAAUAAUAUGUCAAAUGUUAAAAAAAUAUAUUUAUAAAAUUUUUUUUGACAAUAUACACACAAUGAAGGAAAAUUUAAAUAAUACAUAAAAUAUGAAUGGAUAGUAAAAAUACAUAAUAAAAUAUGAUCUUAGAAAACCAAUUAUGUAUAUAAUAGAUUUAAAAGACAUAUCCAUAUAUAUAUAAAUAACUUUAAAAAUAAUUAUAUGUAAAAAUAACAUGGAAUUAAUAGUGCAUAUAAGAUUAAAGUAAUCUAUAAAUUAUAUAUGUACAAAUAUACAUAAAAGUAUUUAAAUGAGAUACUAUAUAACAUAUUAAAAUAAUAUAAUAUAAAGAAGAAUUCUGAAAUAAUAAUUUUAUAACCACAAAAAUGAAGUUCCUAAAAUAGCUUCAUAUACACAUAAAAAUAUUAAGUGAAUUUUAAAACUAUAAGUACUUUAAAUAGAAAACUCCAUUAAAAUAAUAUAUGUACAGGUAAACACAAAAAUAUUUAAAUGAGACAUUAUACAAAACGUUUAAAUAAUAUGAUAAAAAACUUCAAAAUAAUUAUACAAAUAAAAACAAAGCAAAAUUAUUAAAAUAGAUUAACACAUAUAUAAAAAUAUUAAAUGGAUUUUAAAAUAAUAAGUUAUAUAAAUAGAAAACUCAAUUAUAAUUGAAUUAAAAUAAGAGGGAUAAUUUAUAAAUAAAAUAGACCAUUGAAAUAAAAAAAGGACCAGCGCGCCACGCAUGCGAAUGCUCAAGGACCAAAGCUGGAAAUAUUCCAGAUCCCAAAACGUUUUGUUGAGGCUUGGGUUAAAUUGAAACAAUGUGCAAAUUCUAGGGAUAAUUAAAAAUCGAAGAAAUUUGGAAUAAGCUUAAUCAAACACUAGUGCGAAAGGAAGGGACUAAAUGUACAAAUUGCCAUUUACCGCAACAAACGCGCGGUUCCUGAGGGCACUGGAUUGGGUCAUCGAGCAUGGCUUCCAAACGAUAUCUUUUUUAAACCAUUAAAAUUGGUUUAAACGGCACCGUUUCUACUUCCUUAAAAAGGCCAAACCAUGCCUUCAUUUAGCAGAACCAAUAAUGCAACCCUAGCCUUUUUCUCUUCAAUCGUCAAGCCUUAAACUCACUCCUUCAAGCGCCGAUCCUCGCUAAGCGGCGAUCAACGCCUUUAAAUUUUAGGGGAUAUUUCAUAGCCUCACGAUUCCUUUCCAACCUCGGUUUUGACGAAGCGAAACAAAAUUCGUGGCUCUUUCUUUAGGUAAAAUUUCUUUUCUUUUUCUUUUUUGUUUUCUAAUGCAAAAAACGAAAUAUUAAAAGACAAAAUCGGGAAAAACAAAAUAAAAAAAAAGCAUCCAGAAUUUGGACUUAGGAAUCACCUUUUUAAUUUUGGUAGCCCUUUUCUAUAUUUCAGUAUACGUAAGAUUUUCAAGUACAAGCGAGGGCUUUUUAUAGCCAAAUUUACAGAAUAAAUAGCAAAAAAUAAAAAUAUUUUCCUGCUGUCAUUUGUGUAUUCCGUUAUUCUGCUUCUUCUCGUGUGUUCUUUUGCAGGAGCAGCCGUACAGAGGAACGAAGGGAGGCGCGCAUGAAGGAGGCCGUGCAUGGGACUAUUCGUAGGGAGCCCGAUCCUGGCUAGCUGCUGGUGUUUUCCAGAAACCUCUAGGGUUUCUGGUGUUUGGGCCUUUUUCGGGUCAUUUUGGGUCUCGGGUUUAGUUUAUUUGGGCUUGUAUUUUAAUGUUUGGGUUGGAUUUUAUGUAAUUGGGUCAUUGACUUUUAUUGUUUUGGGUUUUUUUUGUUUGUUUAUUUUUGGUUUUGGGUUCUUUUAUGGGCCCGGAGUUUUGUAAAUGGACAUUGGUUAAUUAUUUAUUUUGAUUUUAUUAUUUUUGUUUUAUUUUUGGUUUUUAAGAUUUAUUAUUAUUUUUUAGGUUUAUAAUGGGCCGGGGAAAUUGGGCCUAUUACAAUUAUUAGAUAAUAUAUAUAAAUUUUAUGUUAUUUAUUAUAACAUAUAUAUAUAUUAAGUUAUCAUAUAUAUAACACAUAUCAUUAAUGUCAUCCACUACUAUUAGUUAAAUACAUAUAUACUAUUUUAGCC
Molecule: long non-coding RNA, 50925 nt
Filed under: Gossypium barbadense (sea-island cotton)
Lineage: Eukaryota; Viridiplantae; Streptophyta; Magnoliopsida; Malvales; Malvaceae
Description: long non-coding RNA (GBAR_LNC002419)
Source: RNAcentral